This 45940-nucleotide long non-coding RNA is filed under the name Malus domestica (apple). RNAcentral's name for it is "long non-coding RNA (MDOM_LNC021175)". Lineage: Eukaryota; Viridiplantae; Streptophyta; Magnoliopsida; Rosales; Rosaceae. The record is from RNAcentral.
CGCACAUGACAUGUUAAAAAUCAUCAUUCCCACAUAUUUUAGUCAUCUUCACACUUGAGCACAUACUUAAUCAUAGUCACCACUUACUAGUUCACAUUUAACCAAUUAAAACGAUGUUUUGAAUGUAGUAACAUGCCUUAGAGAAUUUGCUCAAUUCCUUACAAGAUACUCUCUAUUUUCACACACAUUUGCUGACUACACACCCUACACUAGUUAUAUGUGAGAGGAUUGAGGUAAACAUGUAGACGAACACUCACAUAUAUGUAUAACAGAGAAAGCAUUUUCUGGAGUUAUUAAACAUGCUUAGAUAUGAUCUCAUGAAUGAAAUGCUACUACUUAGACUCGAGAACCAGUGACCCCAUAUGCUCAUACCAAUAUUCAAACUCCACAAAUUGAAACACACAACACUCAAGAUUGAAGUCAAGGGUUGUAAUGGGGCUUGGGUAUUGGCUAACAAAGAAAGGUAAAGGAAAACAAAAGUUCUUAAAGACAUAGUAAGCAAAGUAAUGAAAUUGACACUUAGAAUUCACUUUUGAAUGCAAAAAUCAACUUUUAAACACAAGGGAAGAUUCAUGCAACAUGUGAGCUCUUUUUCACAUAUUUUUCAACUCUUCUUCAUUCUUUUCACAACUUUUCUUUUUUCUUUCUAUUUUCCACGAAUUUGUAUUUUCUUUUUCUUUUCUACCCGUGCCUCUCUUAAGACUUUGGCACACACACACAAAAAUCCCUUCUUCCCCCACACUUGUUUUUCUGCAAAAUGUUGAUAAAAAAGAAUUCCCUCUAAGUCAUGCUUCACUAUCCUUUAAGAAUAAGGGUAUGGGUAGUCCUAAUCUAGGCUAGGUAAGGAUAAUGUGGCUAAGAAAGAAAAUAGGCUAAAUAAGGCUCAAAAUAAACCUACAAAACAAAUGCAUGGGAUGAAGGCUUUUUGGCUCUGGUGGUAACUACUAAAGAACUUCAUCUUGUUAUAUGUUAUGCACUCAAUUUUUAAGCUUUGAAUGAAACGGGCAUGAGUUCUAGUAGUUGGAACUAAAGUGAUGAAACGCAUUCUAAGUAGCAACCAAGCAAAGAAUAAUGAGAUCAUGCAACGAAUUUAGAAAACAAGAAUGCACAGAUUAAUCACUCUCCAAAGAAUGUUUUAGGCUCAAGUCUCUCAGGGUUGUAGCAUUAGUUUGAGUUCCUUCCUUCAAGCAUAUUACAAAAACUGUUUUUUCUUUUGUGAUUACAUGUGAAUUCAUAAACGACAACUACAACGAAGCAUUAACCAAAGGGCAUAUGAAACUUCCACCCAUGUUUGUAACUUUCUUUAACAGUCAUGCAAUUAAAAACCAAAUCCUCAUCAUUGUGUUGGAAGGUACCCUAAGACACAACACACAAAAAUGACUCUAAAAACGACUCUUGCGUUUUUUGUUUUUGGGUUUUUCAAAACUUUUUCGAAUUUUUUCUUGAAUUUUCGUAUUUUCUUUUAAAACCACAUAAAGGCACAUCAAAACUACUAAAACACUCAAAAACAGUGAAAAACAACCUUUGAAAUGUUAGGUCGUAAAAUCCUACGAAUUUUUCAAUAAACACUCUGUUUACCCCCCCAACACUUAAACCAAACAUUGUCCUCAAUGUUUCAAACAUAGACUCACACAAAAGCAAGCAAAUAACACAACUAGCAAACAUGACAAAUAUGGCAAAGUAAAAGCAGUAAAGAGUAGGGUUUAGGAAUACAAAUCUAGUUGUGAUGCCAGAGCUUCCUAGGUCUUCUUUAUUUGCAUGGGCUGCCUCCCUAGAAGCGCUUGCUUUAACGUCUUCCAGCCGGACGAUACCUCUGUUUAAGCUGCAAUAGAGCCAACGACAUGGAGGGGUACAUUCUCCAUGACAUGCUCCUCAAAGGCCUCAUAAUAGGGCUUCAAAUGAUGCCCAUUCACCUUGAAUUCUUGUUGCGUCUUCAAACUUUGUAUUUGGACUGCACCACGAGGAAAAACAUUAGUAACAACAAAAGGACCAAUCCACUUGGAAUGCAACUUACCCGGAAACAAACGAAGGCGGGAAUUGAAGAGGAGCACUUUCUGCCCCAUAGAGAACGUCUUGCUACGAAUCAUCUUGUCAUGGAAUGCCUUCAUCUUCUCCUUGUAAAUGUGAGCAUUUUGAUAAGUUUUGUUCCUAAUUUUCUCAAGCUCAUUCAAUUGAAGCUUUGUAUGAAGACCUGCGGCAUCAAUGUUCAUAUUGAAUGUUUUGACGGCUCAAUGUGCACGAUGCUCUAACUCAACGGGAAGGUGACAUGAUUUCCCAUAGAUGAGCCGAAAUGGUGACAUCCCAAUUGGUGUUUUGUAGGCAGUACGAUAUGCCCACAAUGCAUCAUUCAAACGCAAGCUCCAAUCUUUACGAGUUGGCCCAACGGUCUUCUCCAAAAUCUACUUGAUUUCCCUAUUCGAAACCUCGGCUUGCCCACUCGUUUGAGGAUGAUAAGGUGUUAAAACCUUAUGUGUGACAUUAUACUUUUUGAGCAGCGCCUCAAUGUUUCGAUUGCAAAAAUGGGAGCCCCCAUCACUUAUAAGUACCCGCGGCAUUCCAAACCUUGCAAAUAUGUUAGUCUUAACAAAAUUUGCAUCCACUUGAGAAUCAUUAGUACGGGUGGCUUUUGCUUCCACCCAUUUCGAAACAUAAUCAACCGCAAGUAAAAUCUAAUUGAAACCAUGUGAUGAAGGAAAAUGACCCAUAAAAUCAAUUCCCCAAACAUUAAAAAUUUCGACACAAAAGAUGGGGGUCUGCGGCAUUUGAUCUUUUGAACCUAUAUUGCCCAUUCUUUGACAUCUAUCACAAGUCAUACAACACGUUCUAGCAUCUUUAAAGAUCGUAGGCCAAUAAAAACCACAUUCUAACACCUUAAGUGUUGUUCUUUGAGUGCCAAAGUGUCCCCCACAUGCAUAAGUGUUACAAAAGGUUAAAAUUGAAUUGAACUCAGAAUGAUGCACACACCUACGUAGAAUCUGAUCAAGGCAAUAUUUCCACAAAUAAGGGUCAUCCCAAACAUAAAAACGUACAUCUUUCUUCAAUUUAUCACCUUAUUGCUUGUUUAGGGUGCUUGGAACAUGUUUAGUGACCAAAUAGUUAACUAAAUUGGCAUACCAUGGCACACUUACCUCUAUGGACAACAACUGCUCAUCAGGGAAUGUUUCUGGGAUAGGCACGGUAUCUUCAUCAUGUACCAAACGACCCAAGUGGUUAGCCACCACAUUUUCACUUCCCUUCUUGUCUCGGAUUUCGAUAUCGAACUUUUGGAGAAGAAGCAUCCAGCGAAUAAGCCUUGGUUUGGCCUCCUUCUUCGUAAACAAGUACUUCAACGCUGCAUGGUUAGUGUAAAUAAUAACUUUAGUACCAAGUAAAUACGAACGAAACUUAUCUAAAGCAAACACAACAGCAAGAAGUUCUUUUUCAGUGAUAGAGUAGUUUAAUUGAGCAUCAUUCAAGGUCUGAGAUGCAUACUAGAUGACAUGUGGCUGUUUGUCCUUUCUUGGUCCUAAACCAGCGCCUAUUGCAUAAUCGAAAGCAUCACACAUAAGUGAUAGGAGCAUAUUUAUGCGACUUAAUUGGCUUGUUCUCGUGCGUUUACGUUGUGUUUCCUUAGUUAUUUUAGCAUUUAAAGUCAUUUUCGUAUGUUUGUAGGUCUUAAUAACAACGUUGGCAAGAAAAGUGCAUUUUGGAUCAAAAUUGGGCUGAAAUGGAUUGCAUGCAUGAGGAUGGACGUUUUGGGCAUAUGUGUGUGCAAGUGUGUGUGUGCAAAUGCAAGGGUAAACAAUGACAACUCAUACACAUGCAAACUCACGGCAAUGGGAAGGAAUUGUGUUUGUUUUGUGGCUGAAAUGAUAUGUGUACAAGUGUAACAACUAGGAUGAAACAUGGCAGCACACACAUGCAAAGAGGAGCUGGAAUCAUCCUUCACACAAAUGCAGCAACAACCCCUCAUCAUUACACAACAUUUCUGCCACAAAACACAUGCAAAGACACCCACAUGCAAAGUGGAAGAAAGGCACGGCAAAGGGGAAGGAAUUGUGCUUGUUUUGUGGCUGAAAUGAUGCAAAGAACAUGUGUGUGUGCAAGUGUAAUAGCUAGGAUGAUAACAUGGCAGCAAACACAUGGCAAAGAAAAGAACAUGGCAGCAAACACAUGGAGCACACGGCAUGGGCAGAAAAUGUGGGUGUUUGGUGGUUGAAAUGAUGAAGCAUGUGUGUGUAAAUGUAAAGGGGAAACAUGACAGCUCACACCCACACAAGCUGCACAUGCAAAGGAAAUGGAGUGGUCCUCUCUCAAGCCUAUAAAUACCACCUCCCAUAUUCAUCAAAGAACAGAUUGGGAUCCUUGUCUUUGCUGUGAGUUUUCCACCACCAUUCUCUCCAAAUUCAGCCAAAAAUCACCCCUAGCCACACCACCCAUCAACCCUAAACCUUUCCAUACCAUUCCCCAUCCAUUCUACACCAUAAAAACCACCCAAACCCUGUCCAAAACCUCUCUGCCGCAGCAAGGAAGAAGGAGGAACUUUGGAUGCACCUGCUGCCAAGUUGGAGUGUUUUAGGUGUUGUUUUUCUUUGAAUUUUAAUGUCUAAUUUUAUGUAUCUUUGCUUUGCAAGUAUGAGGAACUAAACCCCCCUUGGCUAGGGGGGGAUUCAAAACCAUGUUUAUGCUUGCUAUAUGAUUUGAUUACUUCCGAUUGCGUUUCAUGAAUUGUGAAUUUAAUUUACUUAUCUCUAUGAAUUAAAACUAAUUUGUGUAUGUUGGUUGAGAGUGCACGCUUAAUUGUCAUGCAUAAGUUUGUUGCUAGGAUAUAAGGGAGUUUCACCUAAUCGUUAUGAACUUAUAUUCAUAAGUAGUAAAGGUUGUUGAUCACAAUCAUGUUAAGUAAAUUCUUGGCAUAAGUUUCAUGCAAUUCAUACAAGUGCCUCGCCAAUGCUUAUGGUUUUCAUAGAACUUAAUGAUUCUUGCUUGUAUCUCUAUUAUGCAAUUCAUGUAGGGGACUUGUGAGGAAUGCUUUGGGUUGUCGUAUGCAAUUCAUCCAAUUCAAUAACUUUAGGGAAAUCUGAGGGUUAAUUAGUGCAAUUCACAGUUAAUCUGGGGUGUUGGGAAUUCAUGGUGUGUUGAAGAGCAAUUGGAAAUCAUUUUGUAUGCAAGUAUAACAUGUGUGGAGAAGAACCCCUUAGCUAGCUUCUCAUCCAUUCAAUUUAAUCAAUCUCGUUUUACAAUCUGCUAGUUCUUAAAGUUUUUGUUUAGUUUUAAAUUUCGUCAAGAACCAAUCUCCCAUUUAUUUCAAAGUGUUAGAUUAGUUAGUAAUCACUUUAGUUUGUGUUUUUAAGUGUUUUGAUUCAAGUGGUAAACCAAUUUCGUCCAAAUUUGUGUUUGUGCUCAAAACUGCCCAGAAAGUGUUUUUAAGGCAGUUUUGAGUCUUUUGGUUGCUGUUUUGAAUCUUUUUGUUUAUCUUAGUGUUUUAAACUUUAGUUUUGCAUUCUUUGAGUCUAGUUUAGUGUUUUAAACUUUGUUUUUAAGUUUUGAGUCAGUUUUCAAGUGAUUUGGCAAUCCCUCCUAAUCCCCGGCCUAGAACGAUCCCUACUUACAUACUUGCUACAAUUGAUGAAAAGAGGGUUUAAUUUGUGUGCUUAUAUAAAUCGCAUCAAAUUUUUGGCGCCGUUGCCGGGGAUUAGCAACUUUGCUAAUCCCUUUGAUUGUUUCUUUUCAUUCAUUUAUUUUGUUGAAGUUUCUGACCUUGUUUUGUUUCUUUGUUUUUAAAGUACUAGUGCAUGACUCGAAGUUCCCACCCUGUUCAUGAGCAUAUUUUGGACUUUGACGACGAUUUUGAGAGAACUUUGAGACGAAGAAGGAACCAACAAGAGUCCAACCCACUUAGCCUGGAACCUAACCUUGAAGAACAAGUUCCAGAAGAGGAGGAGAUACCCACGGCACAAGUGGGAGAAGUAGUGCAAGACAUGGCCAUGGACAACCGAACACUCAAGGAGCUCGCCGCUUCGGGAUUAGAUAAUGCCGCACCUUUGUGUAUCCAAUAUCCCACUGAUGUGAAAAUUAUGUUGACACACAAAUUAAACCCUAUUUGUGACAAUUGUAGUAACGAUGUAAGUAGGGAUAGUUCUAACCGGGGAUUAACUAGGGGUACUAAUCACUUGAAAACUGAAUUAGAAAUGCAAAAACAAAGUUUAAAACACUAGAUUAGACUCAAAGAAUGCAAAACUAACGUUUAAAAUACUAAAACAAACCAAAAACUCAAAACAGCAACUAAAAGACUCAAAACUACCUUAAAAACACUUUCUGGGCAGUUUUGAACACAAGCACCAAAUUGGACGAAUUUGGGUUUUAACUUGUACCAAAACACUUAAAACAUAAACCAACACACUUUCUAACUAAUCUAGGACUUCAAAACAAUUGGGGAUUUGAUUUGGACGAAAAUAAACUUAAAUGGCAGAUUGUAAGAGAAACAGAUUGUAAGAUAAAAUUGUAAUGAAUCAAUGGAUGAUGGAAUAGCUAAGGGGUUCUUCUCCACACAUGAAAUAUAUGCAACCUAAAUCGAUUUCCAGUUAUCAAAUUAAUAAGUUAUGAAUCUCGACAUUCCAAGUUAAUUAGGUCCGCUUAAAUUAACCUUCAGAUUUCCCUAGAAUCAUUGAAUUGGAUGAAUAUGCAUCGCAAACAAAUUAUUCCUAACAAGUUCUCUAUAUGAACAGCAUGAUAAAGAUACAAGUUAGAAUCAUUACGUUCUUUGGAAAUCAUAAGCAUCGACAAGGCAUUCGUAACUAUGAAAAGCAUGAUACUCUUGCCAGGAAUCUACUUAACACGAUCGUGACUAGCGAUCUUCACUACUUGCGAAUAUAAAUUCAUAACGAUUAGGUGAAACAAACUUAUAUCCUAGCACCAAAUUCAAGCAUACAAUUUAAGCGUGCACUCUCAAUCAACAUACAAGAAUAAGUUCUAAAUCAAACGGUUAAGAUUAUUGUAUUCACGACUUAUGCAACGAUAACUGGAAGUAUCAACUUAUUUCACAUAUAUAAUCAUGGUUUUGAAUCCACCCUUAGCCAAAACGAAUUUAGCCAAUCAUACUUAAAGCAAAACAAAGAUUACAUGAAUUAGACAUUGAAAUAUAAGAUAGAAAACACCUAAAAUCGUUCAACAACUCAGAUUGAAAAGCCAAACAAUUGUAGAGAAUCUGUCCCCUUUGUUGCUUGCGGCAGAUUGUAUGGUGAUGCUUCUUGGAUUGUUUUGAUGACGUAGAAUGGAAUUUGGGGGUUGUAGAGGCACGGCAAGGGGUGUAGGAUGAGUGUGGAUGAGUGUUUGAUGGGUGGAAGAUGGUGGAAAGCUCGGCAAGAAUGGUGGAGGGGUGCGGCAGAUUAUAGAACUAGGGUUUCUGGAAUUUUGAAUGAAUGUAGCAGCUGGUAGUUCGGCCUAGGGGUUAAAACACAUAUAUAUAAGCACUACAAACCCUAGGGCAAACAGAUUAGGGCCUCUAAAACCCAAAUCCAUCAGAAAUUAGGUUAAAACAAUUAGAAUUUAAGUGGGAAAAGGGCCUAGGGUGCGGCUGGUUACUAGGGUAAAGGAAUGGGCCUUCUAGAAUGCCUUGCAAGGCAAGGAAAUCAGAUUUCUAAAGCCCUAGGUGCGGCAAGGGUUAGGGGGGAAAGGCUAGGUCAUCUAAAAGCCCAAAGCCAAGAAUAGAAACUCUCGAAAAUGGAAACCUCCAAGAAUAGAAACUUCCAACUUUAGAAACUUUGGUUUCCAAUUCCGAAUUCUUUGUUCUUCACUUUCAUUUCUUCCUUUCUUAAGCUCCUUUGACCUUCAAACUCGUCCAUUCCUUGUGCUCCAUAAGCAUACACAACAUUCCAGCUCAAUUUUGCUCUAAAAUGCUCCAUUUCGCACUUAUUUGCAUUCUUUGUCUCUAAACCUGAAAUUGCAUGAAACUGACUUUAAACAUUGAAAUAACUCAAGAAAAACAACAUAAGUGCAUGAGAACAAGCCCACUAAGUCGCAUAAAUAUGCUCCUAUCACCCAUGGCUGCGCAAUGUAAGACCGAAGAGUUCGAGUUAAAGUCAAGUUUGCUCCACCACAUUCCAAAAUACCAUGGGCUGUCCAUGGAGGAUCCGAACAAGCAUUUAAAAGAAUUUGAAGUGGUGUGUUCAAGCAUGACUCCGGUUAACGUCGACGGAAGUAUUUUGAAGAUGAAGGAUUUUCCAUUCUCUUUAAUGGAUAAAGCCAAAGAUUGGUUGUAUGAGUUAGCUCCCGGAACUGCCACAUCUUGGGAGAGUAUGAAGAGGGCAUUUUUGGAGAAAUUUUUCCCAACUUCUCGAAUCAUUCUCCUACGUAAAAAGAUUAGUGGUAUUCAGCAAGAGGAAGGUGAGUCUUUUCCCACUUAUUAUGAACGUUUUAAAUCACUUGUUGCUUCUGGUCCACAGCAUCAGAUGAAGGAGGAGUUACUUCUACAAUACUUUUACGAGGGGCUCCUACCACUUGAACGUCAAAUGCUCGAUGCCUCGGCGGGUGGAGCAUUGGUGGACAAAACACCCAUGGCUGCCAAGAUCUUGAUCGCUAAUCGAGCAUUGAACGCUCAACAAUACGAAGUCGUUGGCCAAAGAGGACCCCCAUGGCAACAAGUGCAUGAGGUAAGUUCCACAUCCGACAUUCAUUCACAAUUAGCUAAUCUUACUUCCAUUGUGUCUCAGAUGGCCGAAGGAAUGAGAAUGCAAGGGCCAAUGGUGUGUGGCGUAUGUUCUAUCCAAGGACAUGCCUCGGAAAAGUGCCCUCAACUCAUUGAGAAUGGUGGAUGGGAGAGCGCUAACGCAAUUGGAUUUCAAGGCCAAAACCAACCGAGGAAUGAUCCAUAUUCAACCACAUAUAAACCAGGUUGGAGAGACCAUCCAAACUUCAAGUGGAGGGAGGCCCAACAACCCCAACAACAAGGAGGCUUUAGGCAACAACCCCCGGGGUUUUUCACCAAGCCAUACGUACCCCCACAUUUUCCACAACAAUCUACCCCAAUUGCUUCAGGUACAUCUCUAGACAAUGAUACACUCCUUAAGUUACUAACUAACUUGUCUCAGGGGCAAGAAAAUCAAACCAAAGCUAUACAAAGCCAAGACAAAAGGGUGGAUCAAUUGGAGAAACAAAUUGGGCAGAUUGCAGAUUUUGUAGGGAAGUUUCGAGACCAAUGCCAACUUCCUAGUUCUACCAUUCCAAAUCCAAAAGGAGGUUUCGAAAGUGCAAAAGCCAUAUUGUUGAGAAGUGGAAAAGAAGUUGGGGCAGGUCCUAUACCAUCAAAAUCAGGUCUCAAAGAAGAUGAAAACUUGCAAAUUGAAGAGGAAGAAGCAAGCCUACCCACGACAAAGGUGGUUCCACCUUUGCCGCAAGCUUCUAGUACCCCAAAUCUGUCCAAAUCGUCCAAUAAGGGUAAGAAUGUGUCAAAUUCAGUUCCUACAAAUGUUUUUCCUUCGAAUGUUCCUUUUCCUAGUAGGUUUAUGCAAACAAAGAAGGAGGAAGCUGAAAAGGACAUCCUUGAGACAUUUAGGAAAGUUCAAGUUAACAUACCCCUUUUGGAUGCAAUCAAGCAAGUCCCGAGAAAUGCCAAGUUUCUAAAGGAAUUACUAGGAAGAGGAUGUCGACCAAGGAGGUUGUCAAGGUAGGUGAAAAUGUAUCCGCCAUCUUGCAACGCAAACUACCCCCCAAAUGCAAAGAUCCGGGUAGUUUUACAAUUCCUUGUGUCAUUGGAAACACUCGCUUUGAAUCUGCCAUGUUAGAUUUAGGUGCUUCUAUAAAUGUUAUGCCAUACUCAAUUUAUGCAUCUAUGAAUUUAGGAGUGUUGAAAAAUGAUGGUGUAAUCAUACAAUUGGCCGAUAGAUCUAACGCCUAUCCAAAGGGAGUUUUGGAAGAUGUUCUUGUGCAGGUAAAUCACUUAAUCUUUCCGGCGAAUUUCUAUGUUCUCGAAAUGGAUGAAUCGGACCAUACCCCUUCAUUGCCCAUCCUCCUUGGAAGGCCAUUCAUGAAGACGGCCCGGACUAAAAUUGACGUGUUUAAUGGAACUUUGUCCAUGGAAUUUGAUGGGGAAGUUGUUAAUUUCAAUCUUUCAGAUUCUAUUAAGUACCCUAGUGAGGACCAUUCAUGUUUCUCUAUUGAUAUAAUUGACUCUUUGGCGCAGGGAUAUCUUGAAGAUUUGAAUGACGAUGUGCUUGAAAAAGUCAUUACAAGAGGCAUGAAACUCAAAACCAUGGAUGCAAACCAUAUGCUAACCCACGGCAUGCAUGAACCAUUCCAUGCCGUGGCUUAUAGUGAGGAAUUCAUUGAGUUGGUUGCUGCCCUUGAGUCAUUACCUAAGCAUGGUGGUAAGUCUCCUAACUUCGAUUCCAUUCCCAUUUCAACUAACAAGUUGCUUCCAUCAAUAAUUCAGGCACCUGUCCUUGAACUCAAACCAUUACCAAGCCAUUUGAAGUACAUUUUCUUGGGAGAAAAUGAGACCCUACCUGCCAUCAUAUCCUCAUUCCUCACGGCACAGGAAGAAGAGAAACUAGUUCGAGUCUUGAAGGAGUUCAAAUCUGCCCUAGGAUGGACCUUGGCCGAUAUCAAGGGUAUAAGCCCUACAACGUGCAUGCAUCACAUAUUUCUUGAGGGGGGCCAAACCAACUAGAGAGGCUCAACGCUGUCUCAACCUUCCAAUGGUGGAAGUUGUGAAAAAGGAGAUAAUCAAGCUCCUUGAUUGUGGAGUGAUCUAUCCUAGCUCCGAUAGCCGUUGGGUUUCACCUAUUCAAUGCGUGCCCAAGAAAUCUGGAGUGACGGUUGUGGAGAAUGUGGAGAAUAAGCUUGUAUCCACACGAAUCCAAACCGGUUGGCGAGUAUGCAUUGAUUAUAGGAAGCUAAACGCCACCACAAGGAAGGAUCAUUUCCCAUUGCCGUUUCUAGAUCAAAUGCUUGAAAGGUUAGCGGGUCAUUCCUUUUAUUUUUUUCUUGAUGGAUACUCUGGUUAUAAUCAAAUUUUCAUUGCCCCGGAUGAUCAAGAAAAGACCACUUUUACUUGUCCCUUUGGAACGUUUGCAUAUCGACGCAUGCCAUUCGGUUUGUGCAAUGCUCUUGCCACGUUUCAAAGGUGUAUGGUUAGCAUAUUUUCUGAUUAUGUUGAAAGGAUUAUUGAGAUAUUCAUGGAUGAUUUUAGUGUGUUUGGUAGUUCAUUUGAUAAUUGCUUAGAUAAUCUCACUUUAAUCUUGAAACGUUGUGUUGAAACAAUCCUUAUGUUAAAUUGGGAGAAAUGCCAUUUUAUGGUUAAACAAGGUAUUGUUUUGGGUCAUAUAAUAUCUGAAAAAGGAAUUGAAGUUGAUAAGUCUAAGAUAGAUCUUGUACGCUACUUACCCUCUCCUACUUCGGUGAGAGAGGUUCGUUCUUUUCUUGGUCAUGCAGGAUUCUAUCGACGAUUUAUCAAGGACUUUUCCAAGAUUGCACAACCUCUAUGCCGUCUCCUACAAAAGGAAGUGUCGUUUGAGUUCAACGAGGCGUGUGAGCAAGCAUUCAACCAUCUCAAGGACCUACUCACUACGGCACCAAUCAUUGUCCCACCGGAUUGGAGCCUACCGUUCGAGCUUAUGUGUGAUGCGUCCGAUUAUGCGUUAGGAGUUGUUUUAGGACAAAGGAAGGACAAGAGGCCGCAUGUCGUCUACUAUGCCUCACGGACAUUGAAUGAUGCGCAGUUGAACUAUUCCACUACGGAAAAAGAACUUCUUGCCGUUGUUUUUGCUUUAGAUAAGUUUAGAUCAUAUUUAAUUGGGACUAAAGUAAUUGUUUUCACUGACCAUGCAGCUUUGAAGUACUUGCUCACUAAAAAGGAAGCCAAACCGCGGCUAAUUCGUUGGAUGUUGCUACUUCAAGAGUUCGAUAUUGAGAUUCGUGACAAGAAGGGAAGUGAGAACGUGGUGGCUGACCACCUAAGCCGCAUGGUGCAUAAUGAGGAGUCCCUACCCAUUGUCGAGACAUUCCCCGAUGAACAAUUGCUGUCCAUAAUGAGAUCAAACAAAUUCUAGAGAAGACCGUUGGGCCUAUAAGGAAGGAUUGGAGCUUACGGUUAGAUGAUGCACUUUGGGCAUAUCGUACGGCAUACAAGACACCCAUUGGAAUGUCCCCAUUUCGGCUCAUAUAUGGCAAGCCGUGCCAUCUCCCUGUUGAAUUGGAACACAAAGCUCAUUGGGCCGUCAAGAAGUUCAAUAUGGACCUAAAUGCCGCAGGGAGUCAUAGGAAGUUGCAACUAAAUGAACUUGAUGAGAUAAGGCAUGAAGCGUACGAGAAUGCUAGCAUUUACAAGGAAAAGACCAAAGUUUUCCAUGAUAAGAUGAUUCGAGGCAAAACAUUCUCCGUAGGGCAGAAAGUGCUAUUGUUCAAUUCCCGUUUACGGUUAUUUCCCGGUAAGUUACGUUCUAAGUGGAUUGGACCGUUUGUUAUUACUAAUGUUUUUAUUCAUGGUGCAGUCCAGAUCCAAAGCUUGAAAACGGGACAUGAAUUCAAGGUGAAUGGGCAUCGAUUGAAGCCCUAUUAUGAGCAUUUUGAGGAGCAUGCCGUGGAGGACAUUCCCUUGCAUGCCGUGGGCUCCAAUGGGGAGUAAUUGCGUUCUUCGUCCGGCUGCACGACGUUAAAGCAAGCGCUUCUUGGGAGGCAACCCAUGUAUUCAAAUAAGGAAGAUUAUUGAAUCGCUCCACAAUCAGUUUUGCGUUAAAAACCUUCCCUUUUCUGCAGUUUUAUUUUGCCUUGAUUAUCAUUUUUAUUUGUUGCUUGUUUAAUUGUUUUUUGUGUGGGUUUAUUUUUGAAACACUGACAGUUAUGCAAGGUAAUUUUACAUUCAUAAAAAAAGAAAGGAACAUUAAGCAUAUAAAUACAAGAGGGAGCCUUCACAAAGGCUGCUUAGGAGAAGUCUCAGUAGUCGGCGGAGCCUCAGCAGUCGGUGGGGCCACAGAAGGAGGAGGUAUCGGAGGUUGAUCAUUUGGAGCUUCACUACGCGGUACAGCCCCAGAAGACGAAGGCAAAUGCUGUUGGAACAAACCCACAAACCUCCGAUGAUCAAGUAAAAUCUGACCAUCAGAGUCCUGCAUCUGGUCAAUUUUCCUCUUCAUGUUUGUGGCAUAGUUGUGUGCGAGCUUGUGCAACUGUUUAUUCUCAUGCUUGAGUCCUCUAAUCUCCUGUUUGAGACUCAUUACUUCAGCCGCCAACGAUUCAACUAGACGGGUUCGAGCAAAUAGGCGUUGGGCCAUGUUGGACACAGAACCCGCACACUGCACACUAAGAGCCAGAAACUCCUUAACAGCCAAUUCAUCAGACCGUCUGGAAAGCAGUCUGUUAUCUUUAGGAGUGACAAGGUUCCGGGCCACCACCGCAGCGGUCAUGUCAUUCUUCAUCACCGAAUCCCCAACGGUAAGAGGGCUAGUAGGGGAUAUGUAGGAUGGGCGCGAUAUAUUGUCUGGAGAAGACGGGACUGCCUCUUCACCAAGGUUCAAGUCAAAACGACGGUCGGAAGGGCCAGACAUUUUUAGAGGUGUUAAAGAAAGAAGAGGUCGGACAGGUUAAGAUCGUAGAAGUGCAAGAAUGGAGUUUUUACAGGUUGAAAUUCAAGUGUGCUUUGAACGUCCUGCGUACCUCUAUAAAAAUCAACAUGUGAUGGGAUUUCAGAGAUUGAAGAGGCGAGCUCAGAAUUCAAAGAGGCCAAUUCAAAAGUUGGGCUUACUCACAAACCAUCGAUUCCAGAUAUCGAAGAGUGUCAGCUUUCUCAGCCUCGUCAGCACCCGUCACACGCAAACUCAGCUUUACGAAAAUCACGGAAAAUUUGUCGAAGCAUCGAUCUCAGAUAGCAAAGAUGCGCCUGUCUCUCUCAGCCUCGUCAGCACCGGUCACACACAAACUCAACUUUGCGAAAAUCACAGAAAGUUUGUCGAAUCGCCGAUUCCAACCAUCUAUCUUUCUCAGCCCCGUCAGCUUUGAGGAAAUCACGGGCAAUCUGUCGACGAUUUCUGUUGAAGUAGAAAACACGUGAAGUUUACUGUUCAAUCAUCCAACGGUUGCCGACAGGAGUGAAAUAACAGUACCGGUUAUUAUUUCCUAUAAAUGUCGACCUUUACCCUCCAUGGCAAGGCAGACAUACAUAACCUUCCGUCAUCUCCGAGAAUGCCUUUCCAACAAACCCUCUCGAGUCACUCAGUGUUCCUUAUUCCUUGGGGUACCUCUGCAAAUAACCCAUCCAAAGAAAAAGUAUUUCAUAUCAUGAAGGUUGAAAGCAAGAGUAUCUCAUAUCAUGCUUUCUCCCUGUGCUUCUCCUUGUCGUUGAUUUAGGACAAGGAGAAAGUGACUAAUUAGACAACACUUGGUAUCAAUCUUCCGAUCUAGAACUGACUGCCUGGAACCCCUUCCUGAUUGGUUACCUAGCCUUGCUCUCGAGUACUCAUCUUCAUCAUCUUAUGCUUCCGCUUCGUCUACCACAUCUGCCUGGGAACAUAUAAGGGAAGUGAAAAUGAUAACUCGAAGCAUGUGGAGACAAUUUACCAAUUCAUCCUCAGCUAGGGACAAGGAGAAAGAAAGCAAGAGGUGGCCACUUGGAAAGAUUGAAGAAAGAAACAGACCAACACCUCUACCUCGUGUCUGCUUGCCGUGCAGAAGAAACAAGCAGAGAAGAAUGCAGACUGCACAAUCAAAUCAACCCAGCAGAAGGAGUCUGAUUUGAAACCAAGGAACUCUGAUAUUCCUCGCUCAGAAUUCCAAACCAGUUUGAGAUCAAAGCUGUGGAAAGUCAACAAGAUCAUCUAUCUCCAAAACCAGAUUUGCGUUCUUAAACUCUACUCUGUCUAUUUUUUGUUUACUUUGCUAUACUUGUCAUGUUUAUUCGUUGUUUGUUUAUUUGCUUAUUUUUGUGUGAGUUUAUGCUUGAAACAUUGAGGACAAUGUUUGAUUUAAGUGUGGGGGGUAAGCAUUGUUUUGCAUGAAAUUCGUAGGAGUUUAUCACCCAUUACUUCUAAUGUUGUUCCUUGCUCUUUUAAGUGUUUCAAGCUGUUUUGGAGUGUUUUAGUGUGUUUUGACAUAAAAAUCCGAAAAUCUCAUAAAAAUUGUUUUGAAAAAAAAAAAUACCAAAAAGAGUUGUUUUUUUUUUUUUGUAUGUGUCUUAGGGUACCUUCCAACACAAUGAUGAGGAUUUGGUUUUUAAUUACAUGACUGUUAAAGAGAGUUAUAAACAUGGAUGAACAUUUGAUUUACUCUUUGGUGUAUGCUUGGUUGUGGUUAUAAUUUAUGAAUUCACAUGCAAUCAUAAAGGAAAAAUUAGUUUUUGUAACAUGCUUGAAGGAAGGAACUCAAACAAACGCUACAACCUUGUGAGACUUGAGCCUAAAUGUUAUUUGGAGAGUUGAUAAUCUGUGCAUUAUUGUUUUCUAAGUCGUUGCAUGAUCUCAUUAUUCUUUGCUUGGUUACUACUUAGAAGGCGUUUCAUCAUUUAGUUCCAAAUGCUAGAACUCAUGCCCAUUUCAUUCAAAGCAUGCUAUUGAAUUGCAUAACACAUAUUCAAGAAGAAGUUGUGUAGUGACCACCACCUUAGCCAAAUUGCCAUGUAUACUACUUCAUUAUAUGUUCAAGUGUAAACCCCGUUGAGCCUUGUUUAGCCUGUUUUUCUUUGUUAAAUCACAUCAUCUCCACCUAGCCUAGAUUAGGACCAUCCAUACCCUUAUUCUUAAAGCAUAGUAAAGCAUGAUUCAAAUUGAAUUCCUUUUGAGUAAUGUUUGGCAGAAAACAAGUGUGGGGGAAAUGUUUCUCAUGUAAGUAGUGAGCCAUAGGCACGGGUGGAAAGAAAAGAAAAGAAAAAUAUGUCCAAAAAAAAAAAAAAAAAAGAGAAGAAAAAGAAAAGUUGUGAAAAUGUUUGAAAAAGAGUUCUAAAGUGUUGUUGUUGAAGAAGGGGUCCAAAACAUUGAAUUCGGCCCUAAGUGUUGCUCAAAUCUUCCCUUUGUGUUAAAAGUUGAUUUAUGCAUUCUAAAGUGAAUUCUAAGUUUCGAUUUCAUUACUUUGCUUGCUAUUGCCUUAGGAACGUUUGUUAUCCCUAUCUUUCCUUUGUUAACCAUUACCCCAAGCCCCGUUACAACCCUUGACUUCUAUCUUGAGUGUUAUGUGUUUCAAUUUGUGGAGUUUGAAUUUGGUAUGAGCAUAUGGUGUCACUGGUUCUCGCAUCUAAGUAGUAGCAUUCCAUUCAUGAGAUCAUAUCUAAACAUGCUUAUAACUCCAGAAAUUGCGUUCUUUGUGAUACAUAUAUGUGAGUGUUCGUUUUCAUAUCUACAGCAAUCUUCUCACAUAUGACUAGUAUAGGGUGUGUAGUUAGAAAAUCUGAGUGAAAAUUGAGUGCAUACUUUGUAAGGAAUUGAGUAAAUUCUCUAAGGCAUGUUACUACAUCAAAAACAUUGUUUUAAUCGAUUAAUUGUGAACAAGUAAAUGGUGACUAUGAUUAAGUAUGUGCUUAAGUGUAAGAUGUGAUGUGAAAAUUAACUUAACACACAAAUUAAACCCUAUUUGUGACAAUUGUAGUAAUGAUGUAAGUAGGGAUCGUUCUAACCGGGGAUUAACUAGGGGUGCUAAUCUAAUACAAAUCGACUUAGAAACACAAAUACUAAACUUAAAGACUCUAAUUAGACUACUAAGAUUCAAAACAGAUUUGAAACACUCAAAUCUGCCCAAAACUGACUAAAACAAAAUAAUUGACUCAAACAGCAACUAAGACAAGAUUUGGACGAAUUUGACAAAACUUAUGACUCAAAAUACUUAAAAACACCAAAGAGGACAGAUUAUGAAGACUCAAACUUAACAAAAUAUGGGGGAAUUGUGUUUGGACGAAUUUGAACUAAAUGCACAGAUUGUAAAUUAAAACAAAUUGUGAACUAAAUGUGAUGAAUCAAUGGGUGAUGGAAUGGCUAAGGGGUUCUUCUCCACACAUGAAAUUAAUGCAACGUAAUCGAUUUCCAGUUAUCAAUUCAAUAAGUUAUGAACCUCGACACUCCAAGUUAAUUAGGUCCGCUUAAAUUAACUUUCAGAUUUCCCUAGAAUCAUUGAAUUGGAUGAAUAUGCAUCGCAAACAAAUUAUUCCUAACAAGUUCUCUAUAUGAACAGCAUGAUAAAGAUACAAGUUAGAAUCAUUAAGUUCUUUGGAAAUCAUAAGCAUCGACAAGGCAAUUGUAACUAUGAAAAGCAUGAUACUCCUGCCAUGAAUUUACUUAACACGAUCGUGACUAGCGAUCUUCACUACUUGCGAAUAUAAAUUCAUAACGAUUAGGUGUAACAAACUUAUAUUCUAGCACCAAAUUCCAGCAUGCAAAUCAAGCGUGCACUCUCAAUCAACAUACAAGAAUAAGUUUUGAAUUAAACGGUUAAGCAAAUUGUAUUCACGACUUAUGCAACGAUAACUGGAAGUAAUCAACUUAUUUCACAUAAAUAAACAUGGUUUUGAAUACACCCUUAGCCAAAACGAAUUUAGCCAAUCAUACUCAAUGAAAAACAAAGAUUACAAGAAGUAGACAUUGAAAUAUAAGAUAGAAUACACCUAAAAUUGUUCAACAACUCAGAUUGAAGAGCCAAACAAUUUUCAUGAACUGUCUCCUUCUCUUCUCCUUGCGGCAGAUUGGGGGAGGAUGAUUUCUGGGGGGUUUUUGUGAUGUAGAAUGGAUUAUGGAUGGUGUAGGGGCACGGCAAGGCUUGGGGGUAGUGUAUGGGUGUUGUGUGGAAGGUGUGGAGAUGAAGAAUGGUGGUGGAAAUCGGCAGAGAUGGAGGAGGACUGGUUUCUGAGGUUGUGGAUGGGUUUUGACGAAUUUGGGAGAGUGUGUGGCUGAAUGGAGAUGUUUGUGGCUGCACAAACAUGUUUAUUUAAAGGGAUUAGGAAAUUAAAAACCCUAGACUAAUUAGGUAAUCAGGAAUUAAGUUUAAAGCUUCUAGAAUUAAGGAAACAAAUCAGAAAAUUAAAGGAAAUAGCAAGGGAAAUUCGGCUAGGGUUAAAAACACAAAAGGAAAGUGUUUUAAAGCCUAGAAUCAGGAAAUAAGAAAGAGGAAAUACCAAGGGGGGUGCGGCAAGGGUUCAAAAGGUGCAAGAAAUGUGUAUUUGAUGUCCUAGAAUGCUUAGGAAGUCUUCAUAAUUGCUGGAACUUUUAGGGACAAUUAGGAAAAAUCAAACCAAAGUAGGAAACCUUGGCUUAACUUUCCUACUUCAAGUAGGAAUCCUUGUUGGAGGAGGAAUCCUUGUUCUUCUAGGAAUCCUCAUGUGAUUAGGAAUCCAUCUUCAAUUAGGAAUCCUUCGUUGAUUAGGAAUCCUUCGUUGAUUAGGAAUCCUUCGUCGAUUAGGAAUCCUCCUUCAUGUAAGCACUUUCCUACUUCAACUAGGAAACCUUGUUCAAGUAGGAAUCAUCAUCUUCAAGUCUUCAAAUUCGUCCAAACCUUGGCUCCAAUUAUGUGAUAAUCAUUCCAAGCCCAAUUUUGCUCCAAAAAGCUCCAAAAUGCAUCUUCUUGCAUCCUUUGGCCUUAAAACCUGAAAACACAUAAAACUAGCUUAAAAGACUACUUUAACUAAGAAAACACCAUGGAAAUGCAUAAGAACUAGCUAACUAAGGCGCAUAAAUAUGCUCCUAUCAAAUUCCCCCACACUUAGCUUUUGCUAGUCCUCGAGCAAAACAAACAAAAGAAAGGAAACAAAACGAAACAAACUAACCAAAACAAAACCUAAACCUUCCAACAUUUGCUUAGGGAUUUCCAAUGCACAUGACAUGUUAAAGAUUGUUAUCCCCACAGAUUUGAGUUCUCUUUACUCGUAAGCACAUACUUAAUUAAAGCCACUACUUACUAGUUCACAAGUAAUCAAUUAAAACAAUGCUUUGAAUGUGGUAACAUGCCUUAGAGAAUUCCCUCAAUUCCUUACAAGAUAUAUACUCUAUUUUCACUCAGAUUUUCUAACUCCACACCCUACACUAGUCAUAUGUGAGAAGAUUGAUGUAGAUAUGAAAACGAAUGCUCACAUAUAUGUUUCACAAAGAACGCAAUUUCUAGAGUUAAGAAGCAUGUUUAGAUAUGAUCUCAUGAAUGGAAUGCUACUACUUAGAUGCAAGAGCCAGUGACACCAUAUGCUCAUACCAAAUUCAAACUCCACAAAUUGAAACACAUAACACUCAAGAUAGAAGUUAAGGGUUGUAAUGGGGCUUGGGGUGUUGGUUAACAAGGAAAGGAUAGGGAAACAAACGUUCUUAAAGCAUAAUAAGCAAAGUAAUGAAAUCUAGACUUAGAAUCACUUAUGAUUGCAGAAACUCACUUAGACCCUUUCUUCAACUACCAUAAACAUGUGAACUUAUUUUCACUUAUUUCAUACUCUUUUUUUUUUUCUUUCUUUCCACAACUUUUUCUUUUCUUUUUCCACGAAUUUUUUUUUUUUCUUUUUAUUUUCACUCAUGCCUUAUUUCUUUUCUUGGCAUAUCAACACACACAUACAAAUUCCCCCACACUUGUUUUCUGCCAUACAUUAAUCAAAAGGGAUUCAAUUUGAAUCAUGCUUUACUAUGCUUCAAGAACAAGGGUAUGGAUGGUCCUAAUCUAGGCUAGGUAGGUGUAAUGUGGGUUAACAAAGACAAUGGCUAAACAAGGCUCAACGGGGUUAAACCUAAACAUAUAAUGGAGCAGGGCACACGGCUUUUUGGCUAAGGUGGUGGUCACUACACAACUUCAUCUUGAAUAUGUGUUAUGCAAAUCAAUAACAUGCUUUGAAUGAAAUGGGCAUGAGUUCUAGCAUUUGGAACUAAAUGAUGAAACGCCUUUUAAGUAGCAACCAAGCAAGGAAUAAUGAGAUCAUGCAACGACUUAGAAAACAAAGAAUGCACAGAAUUUAACUCUCCAAAUAAACGUUUAGGCUCAAGUCUCACAAGGUUGUAGCGUUAGUUUGAGUUCCUUCCUUCAAGCAUGUUACAAAAACUGAUUUUUUCUUUUAUGAUUGCAUGUGAAUUCAUAAGUUAUAACCACAACCAAGCAUAAACAAAGAGUAAAUCAAACUUUCAUCCAUGUUAAUCACUCUUCUUUAACAGCCAUGUAAUUACAAACCGAAUCCUCGUCAUUGUGUUGGAAGGUACCCUAAGACACAAACAAACACACAAAAACAACUCUUUUUGGGUUUUUCAAAACAAAUUUUUCAAAUUUUUAUGAGAUUUUCGGAUUUCUAUGUCUAAACACACCAAAAUGCUUCAAAACAUACUAAAAACACUUAAAACAGCAAGAAACAACAUUGUAAGUGAUAGGUGAAUAAAACCCACGAAUUUUCAUGCAAACAUAUUGUUUACCCCCCCACACUUAAAUCAAACAUUGUCCUCAAUGUUUCAAGCAUAAACUAACAUAAACAAAAAUCAAACAAACAAACAGCAACUAAACACACUAAUCAUGGCAGAUGGUAAACAACAAAGAGAAGGGUUUGAGAAAUUCAAAUCUGGAAUUGGAGUGCUCUCUAGGUCUUCCUUUGUCGAAUGCAUGGGUUGCCUCCCACGAAGCGCUUUCUUUUACAUCUUGCAGCCGGACGAAGAACAUGAUCAUGCCCCAUUGGAGCCCACGGCAUGGAGUGGGAUCUCCUCCACAACCUGCCCCACAAAGUUCUUGUACAUUGCAUCCUUGAACGGAAAUGGAUAGUGAUGUUUGUUGAUGGGUGCGUUGUGUUGCCUAAGGUUCAUGUUCAUGCGCCCACCAUCGGGGAUUUGCUUGGGUACCUGCACCAAAGAAGGGAACCAACUAUCAACUUUAAUGGGAAUUGGAUUUGGACUAGGUGCCUUACCUUGGUGUUGUGAUGAAGUGGCAGCAACAUGAACUUUUUUCCUCAUGGUGUUCUCGGCCACAUUGGGUAUCUUAAGGGCAGUGGCCGUGGGGUCCUUAUGCUCUACUUUAAUUCCCUCGUCUUGCAUGGCUCUUGAUGCAACCUUUGUGUUAGGGGCUGAAUGGUCCGUCCCUAUCUUUUCUAUUGUAUCAAUAACACAACAAGAAUGAACAACGUUAGGCGUCUCAAUGGAUUCAGAAAUUUUAAAACAAAUCAUAUCACCACCAAAUGCCAUAGUUACUUCUCCUUUGGCUACAUCAAUCUUGGUUUGAGCCGUUUUCAUGAAAGGCCGUCCAAGGAGAAUGGGCAAUGAAGGAGCAUGAUCCGAUUCAUCCAUCUCAAGAACAUAGAAAUCCGCCGGAAGAUCAAAUGAUUAACCUGCACCAAAACAUCUUCCACAACUCCCUUUGGAUAUGCAUUAGAUCUAUCGGCCAAUUGUAUGAUUACACCAUCAUUUUUUAACUUGCCUAGGUUCAUAGAUGCAUAAAUUGAAUAUGGCAUAACAUUUAUGGAUGCACCUAAGUCUAACAUGGCAGAUUUGAACCUAGUAUUACCAAUGACACAAGGAAUGGUGAAACUACCCGGAUCUUUGCAUUUAGGAGGUAGUUUACGUUGUAUCAUGGCAGACACAUUCUCACUUACCUGUACCACUUCUUUCUCCCGAAAACGUUUCUUUGUUGUACAAAGCUUCUUCAAACACUUGGCGUACUUCGGGAUUUGCUUGAUUGCAUCCAAGAGAGGUAUGUUAACUUGAACCUUCCUAAAUGUCUCUAGAACAUCUUUUUCCUCCUCUUCAUUCUUGAAUUGCGCAAAUCUGCGAGGGAAAGGAACAUUGGGCAGAUUAGUGUUUGAAUUCACAACAUUUGGAACAACAUUACCUGAGGUGGACGGAUGGGAGGGCUUAGGUGGCUGCGGCAUAGGUGGUACCACCCUUGCCGUGGGGUGUGAUGGCUCUUCCUCCUUGUUUUGGGCAGAUUCAUGUGCUUUGCUUCCUACUUCUUUUCCACUUCUUAGGGUGAUAGCUUUUGCAGAUUCAAACCCACCCUUAGGAUUGACUACCGUAGUGCUUGGUAACUUACCAUUCUCACGAAUUUGCCCCAAAAAUUCUGCCAUUUGGCCCAUUUGCUUCUUGAGCUCAUUAACUUCCUUUGCUUGGGUCUGCAAUCCCUGCGCCAUUGUGGUCAGUAAUUGAUAAGUUUUAUCAUCAUUCAUAGAAGUACCUGAGUUGUUUUGUGAUGAUUGUGCUUGAGGAGGUGGUUGUGGUGCCAUUGGCCUUGGAAUGAAACCCGGAGGUUGUCGGAAUCCACCUUGUUGGGCAGGUUGUUGUGCAUCUCUCCAUCUGAAAUUUGGGUGGUCACGCCAUCCUUGAUUGUAUGUAUUAGAGAAAGGAUCACCCCUUGGUUGGUUUUGAUUCCCAUAACCCACGGCAUGGGCAGAUUCCCACCCUCCAUUUUCAAUUAAUUGAGGGCAUUGAUCCGAUUGGUGUCCUUGAAUGGAGCAUACACCACAGAUUGUAGUUCCUUGCGUUUUGGGGCCUUCAACAAACUGCGAUAACAUAGAAGUAAGGUUAGCCAUUUGGGAUUGUAACUCAGAAAUAGAACUUACCUCAUUUACAUGAUGUGACCGUGGGGUAUCUCUCUGCCCAACACCUUCAUAUUGUUGUGCGUUGUGUGCUCGGUUCGCAAUGAGAGUCUUGGCAGCCACCGGAGUCAUGUCCACCAAUGCACCACCCGCCGAGGCAUCUAGCAUUUGGCGUUCCAUGGGAAGGAGUCCUUCGUAGAAGUAUUGAAGGAGCAACUCCUCCUUCAUUUGAUGCUGUGGACAAGAAGCAACAAGAGUUUUAAAACGUUCAUAAUAUGUUGGAAAUGACUCACCUUGGCUUUGUUGGAUGCCACUAAUGCGUUUCCUCAAAAGAAUGACUCUUGAGGUUGGAAAGAAUUUUUCCAAAAACGCUCGUUUCAUGCUCUCCCACGAGGUAACCGUCCCCGGGGCCAAUUCAUACAACCAAUCUUUAGCUUUAUCCAUUAGAGAGAAUGGAAAAGCUUUCAUCUUCAAAAAUGUUGCCAUCAACAUUUACCGGCGUCAUGCUUGAACAAACAACUUCAAACUCCUUCAAGUGUUUGUUUGGGUCUUCCAUGGACAGCCCAUGGUACUUUGGAACAUGAUGUAACAAGCUCGACUUCAAUUCGAACUCCUCGGUUUUCCCUUGGGCUGCCGCGGGGUAUUGGAUGCAAAGAGGGGCUGCAUUAUCCAAACCCGAGGCAGAAAGCUCCUUAAUGGUUCGGUUGUCCGCUGCCAUCUCUUGGUUCUCCUCUACAACUCUAGCCGUGGGCUCUUCUUCCUCUUCAAAUUCGUUUUCUUCGCAAUGAGGUUCCGGGCUAGGUGGAUUGGAUGCUUGUUGCCUUCUUGUUCUUCUCAAAGUUCGCUCAAAAUCGUCGUCGAACUCCAAAAUGUUUGCUUGGACAGAUUUGGAACUUCGAGUCAUACACUUGUACCUAAAACAAGAAAACAAGAAACCAAGUCAGAAACUGAAUUUAAAACAAACAAAAAUAACACAAAAAUAAAUAACGAGGGAUUAGCAACUUUGCUAAUCCCCGGCAACGGCGCCAAAAUUUGAUGUGAAAAUUAACUUAACACACAAAUUAAACCCUAUUUGUGACAAUUGUAGUAAUGAUGUAAGUAGGGAUCGUUCUAACCGGGGAUUAACUAGGGGUGCUAAUCUAAUACAAAUCGACUUAGAAACACAAAAACUAAACUUAAAGACUCUAAUUAGACUACUAAGAUUCAAAACAGAUUUGAAACACUCAAAUCUGCCCAAAACUGACUAAAACAAAAUAAUUGACUCAAACAGCAACUAAGACAAGAUUUGGACGAAUUUGACAAAACUUAUGACUCAAAAUACUUAAAAAACACCAAAGAGGACAGAUUAUGAAGACUCAAACUUAACAAAAUAUGGGGGAAUUGUGUUUGGACGAAUUUGAACUAAAUGCACAGAUUGUAAAUUAAAACAAAUUGUGAACUAAAUGUGAUGAAUCAAUGGGUGAUGGAAUGGCUAAGGGGUUCUUCUCCACACAUGAAAUUUAUGCAACGUAAUCGAUUUCCAGUUAUCAAAUUCAAUAAGUUAUGAACCUCGACACUCCAAGUUAAUUAGGUCCGCUUAAAUUAACUUUCAGAUUUCCCUAGAAUCAUUGAAUUGGAUGAAUAUGCAUCGCAAACAAAUUAUUCCUAACAAGUUCUCUAUAUGAACAGCAUGAUAAAGAUACAAGUUAGAAUCAUUAAGUUCUUUGGAAAUCAUAAGCAUCGACAAGGCAAUUGUUAACUAUGAAAAGCAUGAUACUCCUGCCAUGAAUUUACUUAACACGAUCGUGACUAGCGAUCUUCACUACUUGCGAAUAUAAAUUCAUAACGAUUAGGUGUAACAAACUUAUAUUCUAGCAACCAAAUUCCAGCAUGCAAAUCAAGCGUGCACUCUCAAUCAACAUACAAGAAUAAGUUUUGAAUUAAACGGUUAAGCAAAUUGUAUUCACGACUUAUGCAACGAUAACUGGAAGUAAUCAACUUAUUUCACAUAAAUAAACAUGGUUUUGAAUACACCCUUAGCCAAAACGAAUUUAGCCAAUCAUACUCAAUGAAAAACAAAGAUUACAAGAAGUAGACAUUGAAAUAUAAGAUAGAAAUACACCUAAAAUUGUUCAACAACUCAGAUUGAAGAGCCAAACAAUUUUCAUGAACUGUCUCCUUCUCUUCUCCUUGCGGCAGAUUGGGGGGAGGAUGAUUUCUGGGGGGUUUUUGUGAUGUAGAAUGGAUUAUGGAUGGUGUAGGGGCACGGCAAGGCUUGGGGGUAGUGUAUGGGUGUUGUUGUGGAAGGUGUGGAGAUGAAGAAUGGUGGUGGAAAUCGGCAGAGAUGGAGGAGGACUGGUUUCUGAGGUUGUGGAUGGGUUUUUGACGAAUUUGGGAGAGUGUGUGGCUGAAUGGAGAUGUUUGUGGCUGCACAAACAUGUUUAUUUAAAGGGAUUAGGAAAUUAAAACCCUAGACUAAUUAGGUAAUCAGGAAUUAAGUUUUAAAGCUUCUAGAAUUAAGGAAACAAAUCAGAAAAUUAAAGGAAAUAGCAAGGGAAAUUCGGCUAGGGUUAAAAACACAAAAGGAAAGUGUUUUAAAGCCUAGAAUCAGGAAAUAAGAAAGAGGAAAUACCAAGGGGGGUGCGGCAAGGGUUCAAAAGGUGCAAGAAAUGUGUAUUUGAUGUCCUAGAAUGCUUAGGAAGUCUUCAUAAUUGCUGGAAACUUUUAGGGACAAUUAGGAAAAAUCAAACCAAAGUAGGAAACCUUGGCUUAACUUUCCUACUUCAAGUAGGAAUCCUUGUUGGAGGAGGAAUCCUUGUUCUUCUAGGAAUCCUCAUGUGAUUAGGAAUCCAUCUUCAAUUAGGAAUCCUUCGUUGAUUAGGAAUCCUUCGUUGAUUAGGAAUCCUUCGUCGAUUAGGAAUCCUCCUUCAUGUAAGCACUUUCCUACUUCAACUAGGAAACCUUGUUCAAGUAGGAAUCAUCAUCUUCAAGUCUUCAAAUUCGUCCAAACCUUGGCUCCAAUUAUGUGAUAAUCAUUCCAAGCCCAAUUUUGCUCCAAAAAGCUCCAAAAUGCAUCUUCUUGCAUCCUUUGGCCUUAAAACCUGAAAACACAUAAAACUAGCUUAAAAGACUACUUUAACUAAGAAAACACCAUGGAAAUGCAUAAGAACUAGCUAACUAAGGCGCAUAAAUAUGCUCCUAUCAAGAUGAUUCAAAUCUGUGGGGAUAAUGAUUUUUAACAUGUCAUGUGCAUUGGAAAUCCCUGAGGCAAAUGUUGGAAGGUUUAGGUUGUGUUUUAUUUGUUUUGUUUCGUUUUAUUUCUUUGUUUUGCUCGAGGACUAGCAAAAGCUAAGUGUGGGGGAAUUUGAUAGGAGCAUAUUUAUGCGACUUAAUUGGCUUCUUCUCGUGCGUUUACGUUGUGUUUCCUUAGUUAUUUUAGCAUUUAAAGUCAUUUUCGUAUGUUUGUAGGUCUUAAUAACAACGUUGGCAAGAAAAGUGCAUUUUGGUGCAUUUUGGAUCAAAAUUGGGCUGAAAUGGAUUGCAUGCAUGAGGAUGGACGUUUUGGGCAUAUGUGUGUGCAAGUGUGUGUGUGCAAAUGCAAGGGUAAACAAUGACAACUCAUACACAUGCAAACUCACGGCAAUGGGAAGGAAUUGUGUUUGUUUUGUGGCUGAAAUGAUGUGUGUGCAAGUGUAACAACUAGGAUGAAACAUGGCAGCACACACAUGCAAAGAGGAGCUGGAAUCAUCCUUCACACAAAUGCAGCAACAACCCCUCAUCAUUACACAACAUUUCUGCCACAAAACACAUGCAAAAGACACCCACAUGCAAAGUGGAAGAAAGGCACGGCAAAGGGGAAGGAAUUGUGCUUGUUUUGUGGCUGAAAUGAUGCAAAGAACAUGUGUGUGUGCAAGUGUAAUAGCUAGGAUGAUAACAUGGCAGCAAACACAUGGCAAAGAAAAGAACAUGGCAGCAAACACAUGGAGCACACGGCAUGGGCAGAAAAUGUGGGUGUUUGGUGGUUGAAAUGAUGAAGCAUGUGUGUGUAAAUGUAAAGGGGAAACAUGACAGCUCACACCCACACAAGCUGCACAUGCAAAGGAAAUGAAGUGGUCCUCUCUCAAGCCUAUAAAUACCACCUCCCAUAUUCAUCAAAGAAUAGAUUGGGAUCCUUGUCUUUGCUGUGAGUUUUCCACCACCAUUCUCUCCAAAUUCAGCCAAAAAUCACCCCUAGCCACACCACCCAUCAACCCUAAACCUUUCCAUACCAUUCCCCAUCCAUUCUACACCAUAAAAACCACCCAAACCCUGUCCAAAACCUCUCUGCCGCAGCAAGGAAGAAGGAGGAACUUUGGAUGCACCUGCUGCCAAGUUGGAGUGUUUUAGGUGUUGUCUUUCUUUGAAUUUUAAUGUCUAAUUUUAUGUAUCUUUGCUUUGCAAAUAUGAGGAACUAAACCCCCCUUGGCUAGGGGGGGAUUCAAAACCAUGUUUAUGCUUGCUAUAUGAUUUGAUUACUUCCGAUUGCGUUUCAUGAAUUGUGAAUUUAAUUUACUUAUCUCUAUGAAUUAAAACUAAUUUGUGUAUGUUGGUUGAGAGUGCACGCUUAAUUUUCAUGCAUAAGUUUGUUGCUAGGAUAUAAGGGAGUUUCACCUAAUCGUUAUGAACUUAUAUUCAUAAGUAGUAAAGGUUGUUGAUCACAAUCAUGUUAAGUAAAUUCUUGGCAUAAGUUUCAUGCAAUUCAUAGUAACAAGUGCCUCGCCAAUGCUUAUGGUUUUCAUAGAACUUAAUGAUUCUUGCUUGUAUCUCUAUUAUACAAUUCAUGUAGGGGACUUGUGAGGAAUGCUUUGGGUUGUCGUAUGCAAUUCAUCCAAUUCAAUAACUUUAGGGAAAUCUGAGGGUUAAUUAGUGCAAUUCACAGUUAAUCUGGGGUGUUGGGAAUUCAUGGUGUGUUGAAGAGCAAUUGGAAAUCAUUUUGUAUGCAAGUAUAACAUGUGUGGAGAAGAACCCCUUAGCUAGCUUCUCAUCCAUUCAAUUUAAUCAAUCUCGUUUUACAAUCUGCUAGUUCUUAAAGUUUUUGUUUAGUUUUAAAUUUCGUCAAGAACCAAUCUCCCAUUUAUUUCAAAGUGUUAGAUUAGUUAGUAAUCACUUUAGUUUGUGUUUUUAAAUGUUUUGAUUCAAGUGGUAAACCAAUUUCGUCCAAAUUUGUGUUUGUGCUCAAAACUGCCCAGAAGGUGUUUUUAAGGCAGUUUUGAGUCUUUUGGUUGCUGUUUUGAAUCUUUUUGUUUAUCUUAGUGUUUUAAACUUUAGUUUUGCAUUCUUCGAGUCUAGUUUAGUGUUUUAAACUUUGUUUUUAAGUUUUGAGUCAGUUUUCAAGUGAUUUGGCAAUCCCUCCUAAUCCCGGCCUAGAACGAUCCCUACUUACAUACUUGCUACAAUUGAUGAAAAGAGGGUUUAAUUUGUCUGCUUAUAUAAAUCGCAUCAAUAAGCUCGAAAGGAAUGCUCCAAUCUGAUGGCAUAAUGAUGGGGGCCGAAGUUAGCAUCUCUUUGAGGUGUUUGAACGCCUUCUCACAUUCCUCGUUGAAUUCAAAGGGCACAUCCUUUUGGAGAAGUCGGCACAAGGGUGUUGAAAUCUUUGAAAAAUCCUUGAUGAAUCGCCUAUAGAAUCUUGCAUGUCCAAGAAAAGAACGAACCUCUCUAACCGAAGUAGGAGAGGGUAAGUAGUGUACAAGAUCUAUUUUCAAUUUAUCAACCUCAAUUCCCCUUUCAGAAACGAUAUGCCCUAAACCUAUGCCUUGUUUUACCAUAAAGUGACAUUUUUCCCAAUUUAGAACAAGGUUAGUUUCAACGCAUUGUUUUAACAUUAAUGUGAGAUUUUCCAAACAACCAUCAAACGAAUCACCAAAGACAUUAAAAUCAUCCACGAAUACCUCAAUAAUCUUCUCAACAAAAUCUGAAAAGAUACUUACCAUGCAUCUUUGAAAAGUGGCAGGUGCAUUGCAUAAACCGAAUGGCAUGCGACGAUAAACAAAAGUACCAAAGGGGCACGUGAAAGUGGUCUUUUCUUGGUCCUCCGGAGCUAUGACAAUUUGAUUAUAUCCCGAAUAACCAUCAAGAAAACAAUAAAAAGAAUGAACGGCUAACCUUUCAAGCAUUUGAUCAAUGAACGGCAAGGGAAAGUGGUCAUUCCUUGUUGUGUUGUUGGGCUUUCUAUAAUCGAUGCACACUCUCCAACCUGUUUGGAUACAGGUUGGCACAAGCUCAUUCUCGGCAUUCUUCACCACAGUAACUCUGGACUUCUUUGGAACAACUUGAACUGGUGAAACCCAACGGCUAUCCGAAAUUGGAUAAAUCACUCCACAAUCGAGAAGCUUAGCCCCUCGAAUGGCAUUCUUCACAACUUCCAUCAUUAAAGGGUUAAGUCGGUGUUGAGCCUCUCGAGUUGGCUUAGCCCCCUCCUCUAGAAGUAUGCGAUGCAUUCAUGUUGUAGGGCUAAUCCCCUUAAUAUCGACCAAGGUCCAUCCAAUGGCUGUUUUGUGCUCUUUCAACACCUGAAUUAACUUCUCCUCCUCUAUUACUGUGAGUGAUGAAGAGACAAUGACGAGCAACAUCUCUUCAUCUCCCAAAAAGACGUACUUUAAAUGAUCCUGCAAUGGUUUAAGUUCAAGAACGGGGGCCUGAAUCACUGAAGGUAACAACGUAUUAGUAGAAACGGGAAUUGGAAUUGAGUUUGGAGGCUUACCAUGAUGUUGUGGCAGUGAUUCAAAAGCAACCACAAUCUUGGCAUGUGCUACAUUAGGUACGGCCAGAUUGGGCUUCAAUCCAAUUCCUUGUGCAAUUGUUGUUUCAAGGGGAUCUUCUUCCAACAAGUCAAGAUAAUCCUGCGCCAAUUCAUCAAAUACAUCAAUAGAAAAACAAGAAUGAUCAUCUCUGGGAAAUUUAUUAGCUUCAGAAAUGUUAAAAUCAAUAAUCUCCCCAUCAAAUUCCAUUGUUAACGUCCCCUUGAACACAUCUAUCUUGGUGCGUGCUGUUUUCAUGAAGGGCCUUGAUGCGUAAAAUAACUAAACACACAAAUUAACCCUCUUGUUGACAAUUGUAGUAUGGAUAAGUAGGGAUCGUUCUUAAACCGGGGAUUAGGAGGGAUUGCUAAAACACUCUAAACUGACUCAAAUCUGUAAAACAAAGUUUAAAAUACUAAACUAGACUCAAAGAAUGCAAAACUAAAAUCUAAAACACUAAACAAACCAAAAGACUCAAAACAGCAAACAGACACUCAAAACUGCCUUAAAACCACUUUCUGGGCAGUUUUGGGACUCUAACACAACUUGGACGAAUUUUGGUUUCCUAAUGACCUAAAACACCUAAAAACAUAUUCUAAGACAAGUUCUAAGUAAUAUGACUUAAAGGAAUAAGGUGGGAUUGAUUUUGGACGAAAAUAAUUAAAUGGGCAGAUUGAAAAAGAAAAUAGAUUGUAAAACAAAAUUGUGAUGAAUCAAUGGAUGAUGGAAUAGCUAAGGGGUUCUUCUCCACACAUGAAAUAUAUGCAACGUAAAUCAAUUUCCAGUUAUCAAUUUAAUAAGUUGUGAACCUCGACACUCCAAGUUAAUUAGGUCCGCUUAAAUUAACCUUCAGAUUUCCCUAGAAUCAUUGAAUUGGAUGAAUAUGCAUCGCAAACAAAUUAUUCCUAACAAGUUCUCUAUACGAACAGCAUGAUAAAGACACAAGUUAGAAUCAUUACGUUCUUUGGAAAUCAUAAGCAUCGACAAGGCAUUUGUAACUAUGAAAAGCAUGAUACUCUUGCCAGGAAUCUACUUAACACGAUCGUGACUAGCGACCUUCACUACUUGCGAAUAUAAAUUCAUAACGAUUAGGUGAAACAAACUUAUAUCCUAGCACCAAAUUCAAGCAUGCAAAUUAAGCGUGCACUCUCAAUCAACAUACAAGAAUAAGUUCUAAAUCAAACGGUUAAGCAAAUUGUAUUCACGACUUAUGCAACGAUAACUGAAAGUAAUCAACUUAUUUCACAUAUAUAAUCAUGGUUUUGAAUACACCCUUAGCCAAAAAGAAUUUAGCCAAUCACUCAAAGCAAAACAAAGAUUACAUGAAUUAGACAUUGAAAUAUAAGAUAGAAUACACCUAAAAUUGUUCCAACAACUCAGAAUGAAGAGCCAAACAAUUAAGUGAAUCUGUCCCCUUUCCUUGCUUGCGGCAGAUUGGAUGUUGGUGGUUUCUUGGGUUAUUGAAUGAUGUAGAAUGGAUGGAGGACGUAUGGAAGUGUUUAGGGUUGAUGGGUGGUGCGGCUAGGGUGGUUUUGGGUCAGAAAAUAUGGUGAAUGGUGAAGGAAUGGGGCUGUUGAAGAUGGAGUUCAGUUUCUGGCGUGAAUGGUCAGUUUCUGGAUGAAUGGGGAUGUUUUUGGCUGCACCAGGAUGAGUUUAUUUAAAGGGAUUAGGAAAUUAAAAACCCUAGACUAUUUUGGUAAACAGAAAUUAAGUCAAAAGCUUCUAGAAAUAGGAAAUUAAAUAAGAAACUUAAGGGAAAGUCAAGGGAUAUGCGGCAACACCUUGAAACACAUUAGGAAUGUGUUUUAAUGCAUAAAAUCAGGAAAGAACCCUCUCCCUUGCACGGCAAGGAAGAGGAAAGGGCAAGGAACCUUCACAAGGUGCGGCAAGGCUUUAGGAAAGGUCUAAGUGUCCUAAAACUAAUGGAAAAAGGGAUCCCUUGCAAGGCAAGGAAAGGGAAAAUUGGGAAAGGUGCGGCAAGGCUUUACAAUGUGCAAGAGAGGUGUAUUUGAUGUCCUAGAAUGCUUAGGAUGCCUUCAAAGUUGAUAAAUCUUAGGAACAUUUAGGAAAGGUCAAACCAAAGUAGGAAACCUUGGCUUAACUUUCCUAUUUCAAGUAGGAAUCCUUCUUGGAGUAGGAAUCCUUGUUCUUCUAGGAAUCCUCAUGUGAUUAGGAAUCCAUCUUCAAUUAGGAAUCCUUCGUCGAUUAGGAAUCCUUCUUCGAUUAGGAAUCCUUGAUUGAUUAGGAAUCCUAAUUUCUUCAAGUCUUUAAUUCAUCCAUUCCUUUUGCUCCAAGCAUUUGAUAAUCAUUCCAAGCUCCAUUUUGCUCCAAAAGGCUCCAAAAUGCGUACUUUGCCUUUAGAAUCUGAAAACACACAAAAGUAACUUUAAACACUAAAAUAGCUAACGAAACAUAACAUAAAUGCACGAGAACAAGCCAAUUAAGUCGCAUAAAUAUGCUCCUAUCAAAUUCCCCCACACAUAGCUUUCGCUAGUCCUCGAGCAAAACAAAGAAAUACAACAAAACAAAACAAAUAAAACACAACCUAAACCUUCCAACAUUUGCCUCAGGGAUUUCCAAUGCACAUGACAUGUUAAAAAUCGUUAUUCCCCACAGAUUUUAGUCAUCUUUACACUUAAGCACAUACUUAAUCAUAGUCACCACUUACUUGUUCACAAUUAACCAAUUAAAACAAUGUUUUUGAUGUAGUAACAUGCCUUAGAGAAUUUACUCAAUUCCUUACAAGAUAUGCACUCAAUUUUCAGUCAGAUUUUCUAACUACACACCCUAUACUAGUUAUAUGUGAGAAGAUUGAUGUAGAUAUGGAAACGACCGCUCACAUAUAUGUAUAACAAAGAACGCAAUUUCUAGAGUUAAUAAGCAUGUUAAGAUAUGAUCUCAUGAAUGGAAUGCUACGACUUAGAUGCGAGAACCAGUGACACCAUAUGCUCAUACCAAAUUCAAACUCCACAAAUUGAAACAUAUAACACUCAAGAUUGAAGUCAAGGGUUGUAACCGGGCUUGGGGUGUUGGCUAACAAAUGAAGGAUAGGGAUAACAAACGUUCUUAAAGCAAUAGUAAGCAAAGUAAUGAAAUUGAAACUUAGAAUUCACUUAGAUUGCAGAAAUCAACUUUUAAACACAAAGGGAAGAUUCAAGCAAAAUUUAGGGCCGAAUUCAAAGUUUUGGACCCCUUCUUCAACAAACAAUACUUUAGAACUCUUUUUUCACAUCUUUUCAACUCUUUUUCAGUCUUUUCACACAUUUUUCUUUUUCCACGAAUUUCAUUUUUUUCUUCUUUUCUUUUCUUGCCGUGUUCUAUGGCACCCAAAAUACCCAAAUUGAAACCUUUCCCCCACACUUGUUUUCUGCCAUAUAUAAAUCAAAAGGAAUUCAAUUUGAAUCAUGCUUUACUAUGCUUCAAGAACAAGGGUAAGGAUGAUCCUAAUCUAGGCUAGGUGAGGUUAAUGUGGGUUAACAAAGAAUGAAGGCUAACAAGGCUCAAUGGGGUUAACUUAAACAUAAACAUGAAGUAGGGUACAAGGCAUUUUGGCUAAGGUGGGGGUAACUACACAACUUCAUCUUGAAUAUGUGUUAUGCAAUUCAAUAACAUGCUUUGAAUGAAAUGGGCAUGAGUUCUAGCAUUUGGAACUAAAUGAUGGAACGCCUUCUAAGUAGUAACCAAGCAAAGAAUGAUGAGAUCAUGCAACGACUUAGAAAACAAUAAUGCACAGAUUUUAACUCUCCUAAUAAACGUUUAGGCUCAAGUCUCACAAGGUUGUAGUGUUUGUUUGAGUUCCUUCCUUCAAGCAUGUUACAAAAACUAAUUUUUUUCUUUAUGAUUGCAUGUGAAUUCCUAAGCUAUAACCACAACCAAGCAUAACAAAGAGUAAUUCAAACUUUCAUCAUGUUCAUAACUUUCUUUAACAGCCAUGCAAUUACAAACCGAAUCCUCAUCAUUGUGUUGGAAGGUACCCUAAGACACAACACAAAAACGACUCAAAACACUCUUUUUAGGUUUUUCAAAACACUUUUUUCAAAUUUUUAUGUGAUUUUCGGAGUUUUAUGUUAACACAUACCAAAACACACCAAAACUGCUCAAAAACACUUAAAAACAGCAAAGAACAAGUCUCUAAGUAAUGGGUGGUACAAUCCCACGAAUUUGAAUAAAAAAAAACACUUAGUUACCCCCCCACACUUAAAUCAAACAUUGUCCUCAAUGUUUCAAGCAUAAAAUCACACCAAAUAAAAUUAAACACACAAACAGCAAGUAAACAAAUAAACUGGCAGAUUAUAAACAACAACAAAGAGAAGGGUUUUAGGAAUGCAAAUCUGGAAUUGGAGUGCUCUCUAGGUCUUCCUUUGUCGAAUGCAUGGGUUGCCUCCCAAGUAGCGCUUUCUUUAACGUCUUGCAGCGGAACGAAGAGCUCAUUCAGCUCUCAUUGGAGCCCACGGCAUGCAGUGGGAUCUCCUCCACAUCAUGCUCAACAAAGUUCGCAUACAUUGCAUCCUUGAAUGGAAAUGGAUAGUGAUGUUUGUUGAUGGGUGCGUUGUGUUGCCUAAGGUUCACGUUCAUGCGCCCACCAUCGGGGAUUUGCUUGGGUAUCUGCACAAAAGAAGGGAACCACCUAUCAACUUUAAUGGGAAUUGGAUUUGGAUUAAGUGGCUUACCUUUGUGUUGUGAUGAAGUGGCAGCAAUGUGAACAUUCUUCCCCAUGGUGCUUUCGGCCAAUUUGAGCACUUUGAGGGCAGUGGCCGUGUGGUCCUUGUACUCCAUUCCAAUUCCCACGUCUUGCAUAGUUCUUGAUGCAUCCUUUGUGCUUGGUGCUGAACGGUCCGGUCCUAUCUUUUCAAAUUUAUCAAUGGCACAACAAGAAUGAACAACAUUAGGAGUCUCAAUGGAUUCAGAAAUUUUAAAACUAAUCAUGUCACCAACAAAUGCCAUAGUUACUAAUCCUUUGGCCACAUCAAUCUUCGUUUGAGCCGUUUUCAUGAAUGGCCUUCCAAGGAGGAUGGGCAAUGAAGGGGCAUGGUCUGAUUCAUCCAUUUCGAGGACAUAGAAAUCUGCCGGGAAGAUUAAAUGAUCAACCUGCACUAAAACGUCUUCCAAAACUCCCUUUGGAUAAGCAUUAGAUCUAUCGGCCAAUUGUAUGAUUACACCAUCAUGUUUAAGUGCUCCUAGAUUCAUAGAUGCAUAAACAGAAUAUGGCAUAACAUUUAUAGAUGCUCCUAAAUCUAGCAUGGCAGAUUUGAAACGGGUAUUACCAAUGACACAUGGAAUUGUGAAACUACUUGGAUCUUUACAUUUUGGUGGCAGCUUUCUUUGCAACAUUGCGGAGACAUUCUCGCUUACAUGUACCACUUCUUUCUCCCGGGCACGUUUCUUUGUUGUACAAAGCUUCUUUAAACACUUGGCAUACUUCGGGAUUUGCUUUAUGGCAUCAAGGAGGGGAAUGUUGACAUGCACCUUUCUAAACGUCUCUAGAACAUCUUUUUCCUCCUCUUCGUUCUUGGAUUGCAAAAAUCUGCUAGGAAAGGGGACAUUCGAAGGAAAAACAUUAGUAGGAAUUGAAUUUAACACAUUUUUACCCUUAUUGGACAGAUUUGAAGGUUUAGGGGCCAUGGACACUUGCGGCAAAGGUACUUCCACCUUUGCCGUGGGUUGAUUUGAUUCCUCCUCUUCCAUUUGCAACAUUUCAUCCUCUUUGUGACCUGUUUUUGAUCAAGAACCUGCUCCAACCUCCUUACCACUUCUUAGGGUGAUUGCUUUGGCUGAUUCAAACCCUCCUUUUGGAUUUGGAAUGGUAGAACUAGGAAGCCUUUCUUGGUCUCUAAUCUGCCCAACAACUUCGGCAAUCUGCCCCAUUUGUUUUGAUUUUCUUGCCCCUGAGUCAAAGUGGUUAGUAACUUAACAAGUGUAUCAUUAUCCAAAGCAUUACCUGAAGUAUUUGGGGCAGAUUGUGGUUGGAUUUGAGGGGGUGCGUAUGGUUUGGUGUAGAAGCCCGGGGGUUGUUGCCUAAAGUCUCCUUGUGGUUGGGAUUGUUGUGGCUCUCUCCAUUUGAAGUUUGGAUGGUCUUUCCACCCCGGAUUAUACGUGUUGGAGUAUGGAUCAUGUCUUGGCUGAUUUUGGCUUUGAAACCCAAUUGCAUUAGCGCUCUCCCAUCCACCAUUCUCGAUGAGUUGAGGACACUUUUCGGAAGCAUGUCCUUGGAUAGAACAUACACCACACACCAUGGGUCCUUGAAUCUUCAUUCCCUCGGCCAUCUGUGAAACAAUAGAAGUAAGAUUAGCUAACUGAGAUUGAAUAUUGGAUGUGGAACUUACCUCAUGAACUUGUUGCCGUGGGGGUCCUCUUUGGCCUACGCCCUCGUAUUGUUGAGCGUUCAACGCUCAAAUUAACCCUCUUUUUAUCAAUUGUAGCAAAGUAUGUAAGUAGGGAUCGUUCUAAACCGGGAUUAGGAGGGAUUGCAAAAUCACUUGAAAACUGACUCGAAUACGUAAAAACAAGUUUAAAACACUAAACUAGACUCAAAGAAUGCAAAACUAAACUUUAAAACACCAAAACAAACCAAAAGACUCAAAACAGCAAACAAACACUCAAAACUGCCUUAAAACACUUGCUAGGCAGUUUCUGACACUCAGGAAGAAUUUGGACGAAAAUUGAUUAUAACUUGACUCAAGACACUUAAAAACACAAACUAAAUUGAUUUCUAACUAGUAUGACUCAACAAAGAAAAGGGGGAUUGAUUUUGGACGAAUUUAAAAACAAAACAAAACUUUGUAAACUAAAACAGAUUUUAAAACGAAUUUGGAUGAUUUGAAUGGAUGGAAGGCUAGCUAAGGGGUUCAUCUCCACACAUGUCACACUUGAUCUCUAAUUGCUUUUCAAUAAACCAUGAAUUCCCAACGCCCCAAGUUAAUUAGGUCCGCUUAAAUUAACCUUCAGAUUUUCCUAAUGUUAUUGAAUUGGAUGAUUGCAUACGACAACCCAAAGCAUUCCCCACAAGUCCCCUACAUGAUUGCAUAAUAGAGAUACAAGCAAGAAUCAUUAAGUUCUAUGAAAACCAUAAGCAUUGACGAAGCACUUGUUACUAUGAUUGCAUGAAACUUAUGCCAAGAAUUUACUUAACACGAUUGUGAUCAACAACCUUUACUACUUGUGAAUAUAAGUUCAUAACGAUUAGGUGAAAUUCCCUUAUAUCCUAGCAUCAAAUUCAUGCAUGCAAACUAAGUGUCGACCCUCAAUCAACAUACAAGAAUAAGUCUUAAUUCACAUAGAUAAGCAAAUUGAAAUCACAACUUAUGAAACGCAAUUAGAAGUAAUCAAAUCAUAUAGCAAGCAUAAUCAUGGCUUCGAAUCCCCCCCUAGCCAAGGGGGUUUAGUUCCUCAUACUUGCAAAUAAACAAAGAUAAAUAAAUUUAAACAUUAAAACAAAGAUAGAAAACACCUAGAAACGCUCCACAAUCCAAGCUCCUUGAAUGGCAUGCACGGCCCCAAGAGUUCUUCCUUCUUCUCCUUUGCAAACUCACGGCACAAGAGGUAUAUUUGGGUGAAUGGUGUAGUGAAAAUAUGGUAGAGGAUGGUGACUAAAUGGUGCAGCAAAGGAUGAUAUUUAUAGGCUGAAAUUCGCAGCCCCUAUGUAGCAAAGGAAAAGGAUUUAAAAGCCUAAUUUGUAUAGGAUAAUAACACACAAUCCUUGAAGGAAAAGGCUAAGGGUUUUAGAAACCAAGGGGGAAAGGAAUAAUCAGGUUUCUAGAAGUUCUAGAAAGGUUUGGGGCGUCACUUUUGUAGGACAAGGGAUAAGGCCUUCUAGAAAGGUUGUUUUGUGGCUGAUUUCUAGAAAAAACAAGGGAUAAGGUGUGGCACCUUUGUAGGAGUGGAUAAGGGCUUCUAGAAACCAAUUUUAAUGUGUCCUAAUCUGAAAAUAAAUCCCCCAUGCAGCUGGAAUUAAAUUAGGAUAGGAUUAGGAUAGGAUAAGAUAAGAUAGGAUUGGAUAGGAUAGGGUUUGGAUAAUGUUUUGGAUAAGGUUUCUUCACUUGAGCUGAUUCUUUGGCUUCAACUUCCCUUCUUCAAGUAGGAAACCUUGUUUGAGUAGGAAACUUCAAUCUUCUAGGAAUCCAACUUCAACUAGGAAUCCAUCUUCAACUAGGAUUUCAUCUUCAAUUAAGCACUUUCCCACUUCAAUUAGGAAUCUUUGUAUCUUCAAUUCUUCAACUUCAAAACACAUUCCUAGCUUCAUCAAUCCUUCAAAUUCGUCCAUCCCUUGUGCUUCAUGUGCAUGAACUCCAUUCUAGCCCAAUUUUGCUCCAAAAUGCUCCAAAUUGCAUCCUUUUGCUCACUUUGUCUCUAAAACCUGAAAACACAUGAAAAUAGCUUAAAAGACUAAUUUACUAAGAAAACACAACAUAAAUGCAUAAGAACUAGCUAACUAAGGUGCAUAAAUAUGCUCCUAUCAAAUUCCCCCACACUUUUUGCUAGUCCUCGAGCAAAACAACGAAACAAAACAUGACCUAAACCUUCCAACAAUCGCCUCAGGGAUUUCCAAUGGUACAUGACACGCCAAAGAUCACUACUCACAUAGAUUUUAGCCAUCUUUACACUUAAGCACAUACUGAAUCAUAGUCAUCACUUACUAGCUCACAGUUAAUCAAUUAAAACAAUGUUUGAAUGUAGUAACAUGCCUUAGAGAAUCCCUCAAUUCCUCACUAGAUAUACACUCAUUUUUCACUUUAGAUUUUCUGACUACACACUCUACACUAGUUAUAUGUGAGAAGAUUGAUGUAAAUAUGAAAACUAAUGCUCACAUAUGUUAUGACAAUAAAAGCAAUUUCUGGAAUUAUGAAUGUAUGUAUAUGAUCUCAUGAAUGGAAUGCUACUACUUAGAUGCGAGAACCAGGGAUAUCAUAUGCUCAUACCAAUUCCAAACUCCACAUAUUGAAACACAUAACAAUCAAGAUAGAAGCAAAGGGUUGUAACGGGGCUAAGGUAUUGGCUAACAAAGGAAGGUAAGGAUAAACAAACAUUCUUAAAGAAUAAUAAGCAAAGUAAUGAAAUUUACACUUAGAAUUCACUUUUGCAUGCAAAAAUCAAUGUUUAAACCCAAGGGGAAUACUCAUGCAAUACUUAGGGUCUAAUUCAACUUUUUGGACCCUUGCUUCAACAACCAAUAACUUAGAGCUCAUUUUAUGCUCUUUCAACUCCUUUUCAUACUUUUCUCACUUUUCUCUUUUUUUCUUUCUUUUUCUACGAAUUUUCUUUCUUUUUUUUUUCUUUUUCUUUUGCUAACCCGUGCCCUCCUUACUUCUUUUGGCACACAACUUUCCUUUCCCCCACACUUAGUUUUCUGCACAACAUUGAUCAAAAAGAAUUCCCUCUAAGUUAUGCUUUAUUAUCCCUUAAGAACAAGGGUAUGGAUAGUCCUAAUCUAGGCUAGGUAAGGAUAAUGUGGCUAACAACAAAAAUAGGCUAAACAAGGCUCAAAGGGGUUAAUCCUAUAAAACAAUAUGCAUGGGUUGACGGCUUUUUGGCUCUGGUGAUAACUACUAAACAACUUCAUCUUGUUAGUUAUGCUAAUCAAUUUUUAUGCUUUGAAUGAAAUAGGUAUGAGUUCUAAUAUUUGGAUCUAUAAUGAUGACACGCCUUCUAAGUAGCAACCAAGCAAAGAAUGAUGAGAUCAUGCAACGACUUUAGAAAACAACAAAUUCACAGAUUAUUAACUCUCCAAAUAAACGUUUAGGCUCAAGUCUCACAGGGUUGUAGCAUUAGUUUGAGUUCCUUCCUUCAAGCAUGUUACAAAAACUGAUUUUUUUCCUUUUUGAUUACAUGUGAAUUCAUAAGUUAUAACCACAACCAAGCAUAAACCAAAGAGUAAAUCAAACGUCCAUCCAUGUUUAUAACUCUCUUUAACAGUCAUGCAAUUAAAAACCGAAUCCUCAUCAUUGUGUUGGAAGGUACUCUACGACACAAACAAACAAAAACAACUUUAAAACGACUCUUUUUUUUUUUGGGUUUUGUGCAAAACUUUUUCUAUUUUUUUCUUGAAUUUUCGGAUUUUCUGGUAAAACCACAUCAAAACACAUCAAAACUUUCUAAAAAACACUUAAAAACAACCUUUGAAAUGUUAGGUGGUAAAACCCUACGAAUUUUGACAUAAAAACACUUUGUUUACCCCCCCACACUUAAACCAAACAUUGUCCUCAAUGUUUCAAACAUAGACUCACACAAAAGCACGCAAAUAACACAACUAGCAAACAUGACAAAUAUGGCAAAGUAAACGCAAUAAAGAGUAGGGUUUAGAAACGCAAAUCUGGUUGUGAUGCCGGAGCUUCUGAUAGGAGCAUAUUUAUGCGCCUUAGUUAGCUAGUUCUUAUGCAUUUUCGCUAUGUUUUCUUCGUUAGAGUAGUCUUUUGAGCUACUUUCAUGUGUUUUCAGGUUCAAAGGGGCAUAAUACAUAAAAGAUGGCAAAAUGGAGCAUGUUAGAGCAAAAGUGAGCUUGGAUUGAAAAGUACAUGCUUGGAGCACAAGGAAUGGACGAGUUUGAAGGUCAAGGGAGCUUAAGAAAUGAAGAAAUGAAAGUGAAGAACAAAGAAUUCAGAAUUAGAAACCAAAGUUUCUAAAGUUGGAAGUUUCUAUUCUCGGAGGUUUCCAUUUGUGAGAGUUUCUAUUCUUGGCUUUGGGCUUCUAGAUGACCCAUCCUUACCUCUUGGACAAGGCCGCACCUUCCUAGCCCAAUUCAUCUUGGAUCCUCACUUAAUGCCGCACCUAAACCCUAGCCCAUUGCAUAUUUCUGACUUCUAAGCCUUUGCCGCACCUAGGCCCCAAAAUAUCUGAUUUCCUUGCCUUGCAAGGCUUUCUAGAAGGCCUAUCCACACUCCCACCAAAUCUGCCGCACCCUAGCCCUUUUCCCAUGCAAUUCCUAUUGUGUUAACCUAAUUUCUGGUGGAUUUGGGUUUCUAGAAACCCUAAUCUGAUUGCUAGGGUUUUUAAGUGCCUAUAUAUAUUCAUUCUAACCCUUUUGGCCGAACUACCACUCCCCAUCUAAUUCAUUCACGCCAAAAACCCUAGUUACAUCCUUGCCGCAGCCUUUCACCCUAAAACUUCCAUAUUUCUGAUUUCUACACCAUUGCCGUGCCUCCCUAAUCCUUUUAACCCCUUCUACCCUCUUCCAUAACCAUCCAUCCACCACCUUGCGCAGCCACCAAAGGAGGAGAAAGAAGGAGUGUCGUGCAGUCCAAAGGAGGAAGACACCUUGCACAUGCAAUCUGCCAUUAGUGGAGUGUUUGGAGUUCUUUCUUUCUUUGUUUCUGUUUUCAUGUUUAAUUUAAAUUGUUGUUCAAUUAUGUUAGACAUGUGGAACUAAUUUCUUUAUAGUUAGAGGUGAAUUUGAAGCCAUGGACAUAUGUUUUAUAUGAUUUGAUUUCUUCCAAUUAUGAUUUCAGAAAUUGUGAAUGUGAUUUACUGAUGUGAAAAUUAAGUUGACACACAAAUUAAACCCUCUUUUUGUCAAAUUGUAGCAAAGAUGUAAGUAGGGAUCGUUCUAGACCGGGGAUUAGGAGGGAUUGCUAAACGCUUGGAAACUGACUUAAACACUCAAAAACAAAGUUAAAAACACUAAACUAGACUCAAAGAAUGCAAAACUAAAAGUUAAAACACUUAAACAAACCUAAAAACCAAAACAGCAACUAGAAGGCUCAAAACUGCCUAAAAACCACUUUCUGGGCAGUUUUGAGCACCUACACUAAUUUGGACGAAAUUUGAUGAAAACUUGAAUCAAAAUACUUAGAAACACAAAUCAAAACACUUUCUAACUAAUCUAAGACUUCAAAUUAAAGGGGGAUUUUGUUUUGACGAAAAUUAAACUAAAGAAAACAGAUUGGAAAUAGGGCAGAUUGUAAAAACGAUUUUGGUGAAAUAGAUGGUUAAAAGGCUAGUUAGGAGGUUCUUCUCCACACAUGUCACACUUGCAAACAAAACGAUUUUUCAGUUGUUCUUCCGAUAAACUACGAAUACUCAACGCCCCAAGUUAACCGUGAAUUGCACUAAUUAACCCUCAGUUUUUCCACAAGUUAUUAAGUUGGAUGAUUGCAUACGACAACCAAAACAUUCCUACAAGUUCCCUACAUGAAUUGCAUAAUAGAGAUACAAGCAAGAAUCAUUACGUUCUUAUGAAAAACAUAAGCAUUGACGAAGCAUUUGUUACUAUGAAUUGCAUGAAACUUAUGCUAAGAAUUCAUUCAACGCGAUCGUUUUCAAGCGAUCUUCACUACUUGUGAUUAUAAGAUUGUAACUAUUAGGUGAAACUCCCUCAUAAUCUAGCAUCAUAUUCAUGCAUGAAAACUAAGCGUGCACUCUCAAUCAACAUACACAAAUAAGUUAUCAAUCAAAUAGAUGAACGAAUUGAAUCCAUAACUUAUGAAAUAACAACUGAAUGUAAUCGAAUCAAAUUGCAAGCAUGUACAUGGUUUCGAAUCACCCCCCAACUAAGGGGGUUUAGUUCCUCAUACUCACAACACAAAGUUUAUUGAAUUGAAACAUCGAAGACAUAAGAAAGAUUACACCUAAAAUGCCAAAGAAUUCCACUUUGAAUUCUGCACAGCAAGCUCCUCUUUCUUCUUCUCCUUGCUGCGGCAGAGAGGGUUUAGGGGAUUUUUGGGUAGUUUUGGAUGAUUUUGGACGAGGGAGAAUGGUGGAAAAAUGUCUAGGAUGGGUGUAGGGCACGGCUAGGAAGGUUUGGGGUCAGAAAAUAUGGAGUUGGGUGAAGGUUGGGCUCGGCAAAGGUGAGGGACAGGUUCUGGCGUGAAUGGAGUUUUUCUGGAUGUGUUUUUGGGUUUUGAAAGGUAGAUAGGAUAGUAUGGUGGGUGCGGCAAGGUGUGGGAAUGGUUUAUGGAGGUGGAGAAUGGUGUAUGGAUGUGUGGAAAUGGUGCUGGAAUGGAUGGAAGCUGCGGCAAAAGGUGGGAAAGGUUGCUGGAAUGGGUGGUGGCUGCGGCAAGGAGAGGAUUAGGGUGAUGGUGAUUUUCUGAUUUGUGUAGAGGGAAUGAUGAUGUGCGGCUAGGGUUUAGAAAUAUAUAUAUAUAGGCAUUUAAAAAACCCUAGCAAAUCAGAUUAGGGCCUCUAAAACACAAUCCAUCAGAAAUUAGGUUGAAACAAUUAGACAUUUAGUGGGAAAAAGGGCCUAGGGUGCGGCUGGUAUGUGGGCUAAGGUUAGGGUUUCUAGAAACCCUAACAAGGCAAGGCAAAGUGAUUCUAGAGGGCCCAGGUGCGGCAUAGGAUGAAGGUCCAUAAGGAAUUUGGGUUUAGGUCAUCUAAAAGCCCAAAGCCAAGAAUAGAAACUCACGAAAAUGGAAACCUCCAAGAAUAGAAACUUCCAACUUUUAGAAACUUUGGUUGCCAAAUUCCGGUUUAGGAAAGAUCAACCCAAAAUGGAAACUUUUAGGCUUAGCUUUCCUACAUCAAGUAGGAAACCUCAAAUCUUCAACUCUUCAAUUCCAUCCCAACCUUGUGUUCCAAGCAUGUACUUUUCAAUCCAAGCUCACUUUCUUGCUCCAAAAGCUCCAACUUGCAUCAUUUCAUGUAAUACGUCCUUUAACCUGAAAACACAUGAAAGUAGCUUAAAAGACUACUUUAACGAAGAAAACAUAACAAAAAUGCAUAAGAACUAGUUAACUAAGGCGCAUAAAUAUGCUCCUAUCAUUUACUUAUCUAUUUGAUUGAUAACUUGUUUAUGUAUGUGGGUUGAGGGUCGACACUUAAUUUGCAUGCCUAAACUUGAUGCUAGGAUAUAAGGGAAUUUCACCUAAUCGUUAUUAACUUGUAUUCAUAAGUAGUGAAAGUCGCCAGUCACGAUUGUGUUAAGUAAAUCCUAGGCAAGAGUAACAUGCGUAUCCCAUAGUUAUGAAUGCCUCGUCAAUGCUUAUGAUUUCCAUUAAACUUAAUGAUCUUUGAUACGUGUCUCUAUCAUGCGUAUUCCAUAGUUAGGGUCCUUGAUAAGAAUAAUUUGGUUGUAAUGCGUAUUCCAUUCAAUUCAAUGAAUCUAGGGAAAUCUGAGAAUUAAUUGGGUGCAAUCUAGUUAAUUUGGGGCAUUGUCAUUCAUGGUUUGUUGAAAGAGUAAUUGGAGAUCGAGUUGUAUGCAUAUGUUCAUGUGUGGAUAAGGAACCCUCUAACUAGCUUCUCACCAUUCUACUUAAUCACAAUCUGUUUUGCUUUACAUUUGUUUUUAAAGUUUGAGUUUUAAAGUUUUAAUUUCGUCAAAGUCAUUCCCCCAUUUAUUUUAAAGUGUUAGAUUAGUUAGAAAUCCAUUUAGUUGUGUUUUUAAGUGUUUUGAGUCAAGUCAUAGUCCAAAUUCGUCCAAACUAGUGUUAGGUACUCAAAACUGCCCAGAAAGUGGUUUUAAGGCAGUUUUGAGCCUUUUAGUUGCUGUUUUGGGUUUUUAGUUUGUUUAGGUGUUUUAAACCCUAGUUUUGCAUUAAUUGAGUCUAGUUUAGUGUUCUACAUUAUAUUUUUAUGUUCUUGAGUCAGUUUUACAUUGAUUAGCAUCCCUAGUUAAUCCCCGGUUAGAACGAUCCCUAUUUGCUCAUAUACUACAAUUGUCAUCCAUAGGGUUUAAUUUGUGUGUCAAGUUAAUUUUCACAUCAGCUUCCUAGGUCUUCUUUAUUCGCAUGGGUUGCCUCCCACGAAGCGCUUGCUUUAACGUCUUCCAGCCGGACGAUACUUCCAUUCAAACUCCCCUAGGUCCCACGGCAUGGAAUUGAUCUUUAAAUGGGAGAUGAUACUUGAAAUGAUCCGGCACAGGUUUAAAUUCAAGAGUGGGUGCCUGAAUCAUUAACAACAUAUUAGUAUAAACCAAAAUUGAAAUUCGGGGAAGUGGCUUACCUGUGUGCUCCGACAUGAACUCAAUGACAAAUACCACUUCUUUGAAAGUUUUAGGGACUUUGAAUUUGGCUAGAUUUACUACCAUGGUUGUGAUUUGUCCCGUGUCAUCAAAUUCAACGUCUUUAGGCGUCGUUGUCUCAAAUACGUCCUCUUUGAUGAAUUCUUGAUAUUCUCGAGCCCCUACUUUCUCUUGAAUCAUUCUUCUUGGUGUACAAAGUCCCUUGAACAAUUCAACACAUCUAGAACUUGCUUUGUUGCACCAAGAAUUGGAAAAUCAUUUUGCACCUUUGGAAGAGCUUCCAUAAUUUCUUUUUCCCUCUCUUCUUGCUUGGGAAUCAAAAACCUGCGAGGAAAAGGGACAUUGGGUGGAAUGGGGUUAGAAUUAAUUGAAUUUGGAACCACCUUACCUGAGUUGGAUGGCAUAGGGACUCUAGGAGGCUGCGGCCAUGGUUGUUCUACCCUUGCCGUGGGUGUGUCUUCUUCCUCCUCCUCAAUUAGCAGCUGUUCGUCCUCCUCUUGGCUUGAUUUGCACGUUUUUGGACUUGUUCCAACCUCCAUGCUACUUUCCAAAAUGAUAGCAUCAUGGAUUUCAAAAUCUUCCUUCAAAUUUUCAAUAGUUGAGUUGGAGGGUUCACUUUGCUCUUGAAUUUGUGCCAUGAACUCCAUAAUCUCUCCAAUUUGAUUCUUCAAUUUACCCAACUUCUUGUCUUGAUUUUGUUGGUCCUGCGCCAAAGAGGUUAGUAAUUGAAGAAUUUGAUCACUAUCCAUGGACAUACUUGAAUUUGAUUGGAAUUGUUGUGGAGAAUGUUGUGGUGGCUGCAUAGGUCUUGAAUAGAACUCCUCAUAUGGAUGCCAAUAUGCUUCGUGUUGAACUUGUUGAGCUUCCCACCACAUAGAGUUUGAAUGAUCACUCCAAUUCGAAUUGUAAGUGUUGGGAAACAUGUUGUUGCUCGGUUGAUCAUAGCCUUGAUAACCCCAAGCAUCUCCGUUUGCAGUGAAUUGAGGACGUUGAUGAGUUGGAUAUCCGUGCCCAUAGGACACACCACAUGUAGGGACACUUUUCAUUGUGGUCCUUUCGAUAUAUUGCGUUAACUGAGAAGUAAGAUUCGUUAUUUGAACUUGAAGAUUAGCAAUUGCCAUGUCUUACUUCUCUAGUACCUAAAAUCAAAGAAAGAAAACUAAAUCAAAUAUCAAAAGUAAAAGACACGAACAAAAACAAAGGGGGAUUAGCAAUUUUGCUAAUCCCCGGCAACGGCGCCAAAAUUUGAUGUGAAAAUUAUGUUGACACUCAAAUUAACCCUCUUUUUAUCAAUUGUAGCAAAGUAUGUAAGUAGGGAUCGUUCUAAACCGGGGAUUAGGAGGGAUUGCAAAAUCACUUGAAAACUGACUCGAAUACGUAAAAACAAGUUUAAAACACUAAACUAGACUCAAAGAAUGCAAAACUAAACUUUAAAACACCAAAACAAACCAAAAGACUCAAAACAGCAAACAAACACUCAAAACUGCCUUAAAACACUUUCUAGGCAGUUUCUGACACUCAGGAAGAAUUUGGACGAAAAUUGAUUAUAACUUGACUCAAGACACUUAAAAACACAAACUAAAUUGAUUUCUAACUAGUAUGACUCAACAAAGAAAAGGGGGAUUGAUUUUGGACGAAUUUAAAAACAAAACAAAACUUUGUAAACUAAAACAGAUUUUAAAACGAAUUUGGAUGAUUUGAAUGGAUGGAAGGCUAGCUAAGGGGUUCAUCUCCACACAUGUCACACUUGCAUAUAAAACGAUCUCUAAUUGCUUUUCAAUAAACCAUGAAUUCCCAACGCCCCAAGUUAAUUAGGUCCGCUUAAAUUAACCUUCAGAUUUUCUUAAUGUUAUUGAAUUGGAUGAUUGCAUACGACAACCC